GAGGUGGUGGAGACUUAUACUUGUAAACCGGAGGUGGUGGGGGUGGAGACUUGUACUUGUAAGGGUGCUUGGGUGGGGAUAGAGGUGGUGGUGGGGGAGACUUGUACUUGUAGGGAUGCUUGGGUGGUGAUGGUGGUGGUGGUGGUGGAGACUUGUACUUGUAAGGAUGCUUUGGAGGUGAUGGUGGUGGUGGUGGAGACUUGUACUUAUAAGGAUGCUUUGGGGGUGAUGGUGGUGGAGGUGGGGACUUGUACUUGUAAGGGUGCUUGGGUGGUGAUGGUGGUGGAGGUGGUGGGGACUUGUACUUGUAAGGGUGCUUGGGUGGUGAUGGCGGUGGAGGUGGUGGAGACUUAUACUUGUAAACUGGAGAUGGUGGGGGUGGAGACUUGUACUUGUAAGGGUGCUUGGGUGGUGAUGGUGGGGGUGGGGGUGGGGGUGGGGACUUGUACUUGUAGGGGUGUUUGGGUGGUGAUGGUGGUGGUGGUGGUGGGGACUUGUACUUGUAAGGAUGCUUGGGUGGUGAUGGUGUUGGAGGUGGAGGAGACUUGUACUUGUAAGGAUGCUUGGGUGGUGAUGGAGGAGGUGGUGGGGACUUAUACUUGUAAACAGGAGUUGGUGGGGGAGGAGAUUUGUACUUGUAAGGCUUCUUGUGUGGUGGUGGUGGUGGUGGAGAGUAGACCGGAGGAGGCGGUGGUGGAGACUUGUAAUGGUAAGGUGGUGGUGGGUACUUCUUAGGAGGUGGUGGAGGAGAAGAAUAAGUGUAAUCUGCUGAGGUUUCAAAAGGCAAAUUGAGAGACACUGCUAAAACUAAAAGAGUGAGAAAGAGAGAGGUCAUUGAUGACCCCAUUUUCCCCAUACUUCUAAAAAUGGGUUUAAUUUGGUUAUGCUCUUAGCAACCCUCUUCACUCCCUUUAUAUAGACUUUUUUUUUAACCUUAUAAUCAUGAUAAAAGUUUGAAGAUGGACCGAACCUUCAGCAGCAUGUAAAAAAGACAUUACGUUUAGGUUAUUAGCAUGGUAUGAUAUAAUAAUUCUCUAUUCUCUUCCUUGUCGUUUCCCAUAAAUUCAAUUUUCUCUAUUAAAUAUUUAUCAAAUUCAUUUCUCACUCCCUAUUAAUUCUUUAAUAAGUUUAUAGAAUAUGAAUAAUUAAUCAUUAAACUCGAUUUAAUAAAUACUUUAAACAAUUAAUAAUUUAUCUUAUUUUAUGCUUUAAUUAAGGCAUCAAAUCAUAAUCCUAUUUUAUAUUUUGAAAAUUUAUCAUUUUUUAAAGAACUUAAUUGAUUAAAAUGUGAUUCUAAUAUUUGGCAGGAAAAAUUAGUUUACUUUCCUUAGAAUGUAAUAUUCUUUUGAGAGUUAUUUUCUUACUAAUAAUAGAAAGUGAUAAUUCGUGAGAAAAUUACUUUCACAUGUAAAUAAAAAUUAUUAGAACAAAAAAUUAACUUUCUUUUAUUUAUGUUUAGGUACUAAUUAACUUAUUGAGAUAAAGAUAGUUGUAGCUUGCUUUUUCAUGUCAUUUUCUUAUCUUUACAACUUCAAACCAUUAUUCUAGAGUAAGUUUUUUUUUUUUUUUCUAAAUAGUAGAUAAAUAUCUAUAUUUUAUUUUGCUAUAAGAAAAUUAUAUUUUUUAGCAUACAAAACUUAAAGACAACUUGUAGAAUCAAGUAAUUCUAUGAAAAGCAAGCCUAUUCACAUAUAAUACCUAUUACUCUAGCAAUAAUAAUAUUGACAUUGUCUAAAUUUUCUAAUAAAAAAAUUAUAUAAUUUGUAUGUGUUAAAAAUGAAAAAUAUGGCGGUUAUUAAAAAAGAUUUCAUACAUCUAAAUGAAACUACUAAUUUAAAAAUUAGUAUUGAGAUAAUUUCAAGUUAAUAUUGAAUAUACUUGAAUUUGUACAUACAAAGUAAUGAGGGUAAAAAUUUUGUAAAUUGUACAUCUUCACAAUCUUGAGUUAAUAUACAAUUUUUUAAUGUAUUAAUAUAAUGUUUUAGAUCAAGAUGUGAAAAAACAUAACUCAAAUAUUUGUUAAUAAUAAAAAAUUAUUAAUAAAUAUUUAAUUCAAAAUUUAUUAAUAAUAAAAAUUAUUGAAAAAUAUUAAAUACGUUAAUAUUAUUUUUAUAUAAUAAUGAUAAUUUUGUACAGUAAUCUUAUAUUCUCAAUAAGUGUUAAAUGUCUCAAGAUUUUAAUUAAUACUUUUCAGUGGUUACCAAACAUUGUGAAAUAACUUCUUGAACAAUGAUAUUCUUAUCAAUCACAUUCCAUUAGAAAUUUAACAUAGGAAAGCACCAAAACAACCGCUUAAAAAUGAAUGUGCAUGAUUAAAAUCGCGAUAAGUCUUGUUUAUCUAAAAUUUAAAUAUUCAUUUUAUUAUUUAAAAUAUAUUAAUUUUCCAAAAACAAUCAUUAAUAUUUAUAUUUCUAAUUUUAAACAUUCUUUUGUUAAUUAAAUGAUAGUGUAAACGGUUAAACUCAAAUCGAAAGCAUUUUAUCUUAUAGUAGAUUAUAUGACUCAUAUUAUGGUUGAAAGUAAAAUGUAUAAAAUCAAUACAAACAUCAAAUAUUAAACUUGCACUCAAUAGAUUUUAAAAUUUCUAAUUUUACCACUAAUCUAUUUUAAGAUUUUUAAAAAAUCGUACUUUAGAUUAUCUAAUUUAAAUUUUAAAAUUAUUAAAAAUAAAAAAAUUCUUAAUAAAAAAAUUUGUUUCAAAUUUUUAACCUUUUAAUAUAAUUGUUUUAACUGGUUAUCUAAACUAAAUAAAAACUUAUUUAGUAUAAAAAAAAGUGGUAAAUGUGAAAGGAGCACAAAUCACAACUACAAUAUGCUACAUUAGUUUUAUAAUUGGAUUAAUUUAAUCACCGGCAGAGGAAAUGUGUUAGUUCUAGCUACCACCAAUUUAUUUUAAUUCCUUUAAAAAUAUUAGAAAAAAUCAAUUUGAUUUUUAAUAAUAGAUCUAAUUACUUAAAGGAACAUCGGUGAUGUCCACAUGGCAUACAAGGUUAAGCAUAUAAAAAAAGAACAAAAAGAUUAAGUAUCUUUGCAAGAUAGCUUUCUGAAAUAAAUAAAACUUAAAUAAAAACAAUUUUAUUAUCAAAAUAAAAAGAAAAAAGAAAAGAAAUACUAGUGUUUUUAAUUAAAAUAGAGUGAUCUGGGUAGAAUCUUUUACUUAAAUACUGACAUUGACUUUAUAAGCUAUUUUUUAUCAAAAGAAGAAAGAGAAAAGCAUCCGAUUGAAGAUGUGAAUUAUUAAAUUAAAAUUAAUCAUACAUGUAAAAUUUUAUUGUGCUUUUUUCUAGCCCUCCGAAUGACAUUAUGCUUUGAUUACAACAUUCUUGCUCAGAGAUCGGGUUUGAAGAUGAACUCGGAUGCAUUUAGAUUUUUACAAGUAAAUUAAAGGAUGUUAGAACUUGUAUUCCGAUAAACUUAUAAUACAGAAAGCAAGUAAUAUGUGACUGUACAUAAUGGCUAUGAGGCGAGGAUAUGAUAUGAGAAGAUAGAGAUGAGAGAUUGCACUUAAGGGGUUAACACCACUUUCCUUUUUGUGUUUGGUCCCCAAAGCAUCUCUUAUUGGCUGAUGUUGCAAGGCCGUCCCAUAAGUUGGUCUAAAAGUGCUUGAUAGCUAGAAUUAAUAUUGUGGUAUAACAUAUGUCACCACUAGGUUUGAAUAAGGUUACACAGUGAUUUGAUGAAGAUUUAAAAAAGCAUAGAGAUAAUUAUGUUGCAAAUAUUGUAAAAGUAAGAGCUAAAUUGUUUGGCUUUAUUAGAGUUUAGACUCUGUUAGUCUAUUACCAUUCUCUAUUAGUCUGUUACCAUUUUGUUAUAUAGGCUGUAAUAUUGUUAGAAAGCAGUUAGCAGCUGUUAGUCAUAGUAGUUAGUCAUACAAAUAUAAAUUCUAUUCAUGUAUUGUUCAAAGGUAAGCUAAUAAUAUCAGAAGCGAUUUAAUGUAUUCAUUCUACUUUUUUUUUAUUCUUCAUAAUACAGUUGUUAACAUGGUAUCAGUACCCUAAUUUCUUAGAGGUCGCUUCUAUUGUAGAUCCAUGGCCAAUUCCACUGAUUCUACCUCCACUGGUCGUAGCAGUCCCUCGUUCUCGAUUCAUGUUUGGUUCAAUCGUUUCCUCGUCGUCACACUGAGAAGUUAGAUGAAAGAAAUGUUAUGCAAUGCCAACAGCAUAUCCUAUUGAUAAUUGAAGGGUAUGAACUCAUAAGAUUUUUAGAAGGGACGUUACCUACUCCGCCUCGCUUUGUGUCAUCUCCCGAUGGAACCUUGGCUUCGGCUCCCGAUGCAUUCCUGUUUGUUCAGCAAGAUAAGUUACUCGCUCUUUGGUUGCUUUCUACGAUUAGUGCUCCUUUGUUGUCCUCUUUUAUAGCUGCUAAGACACCGUGUGAGGUUUGGAGCACUGUGAAUCACCUCUUUACUGUUUCCACCAGAGCGAAGUUAUCGCGUAUUAAGCAUGAACUCCACUCCAUCAAGAAAGGCAUGAUGACUGUCAAAGAGUAUAUUAUUAAGAUUCAAAAUACCUGCACCUUACUCGAGGCAUCUGGAUUGGUGGUUUCGAAGGCCGAGAAGGUAGAGAUCAUUCUUGCUGGCCUAUCGUCAGAUUAUGAUGUCGUUUUAACACUACCAUAGUUCUCUUCUGAAACUCUUCCGUUACAGAAGAUAGUUGUUGUGCUACUGAAGUUCGAAAGCCGUCAGACUCAUGUCGUGAAUGACAUACCUUUUCAUGCUCAUCUGGUAGAGGCCACUUCGGCGACAUCGGUGGAGGACUCCGUACAUGGUAGCCAUCCUCCUCCUGGUGCUCGUGGGCAUGACUUUCGACUCGGCUUCAGUUCCAGAUCUAUGGUUGCUAUGGACAUCUGGCACAACGCUGUUAUUAUCAUUUCAACCGCGAAUACAGUGGUCUAUCUGCUCUGACCAUGGCGCAGGCUUCGCUUUUGUGCUGGGCACUAUUCGUGUGACAAUGUUUUUGGUGCAACUGGUCUCUUGACCGGCUGGUUUCCAUCAGCUCAUCCUAGUUCAAACCCCUUCGAUGUGCCUGGACAGUGUGCCGAUUCUUCGGUGACGGUACCGGCGCAUUUCCCUUAUGGCUCCUCUUGGGGAGGAUGGCCACAUUUGUAAAACAAUGCCUCCCUUGUGCCAAGUCUACCGAAUGUUAGGGUUUCUAACCUUUUUGCUCCUAAUUUUAACAAUGAGGCAAGCUAAGUGUUUGGGCCCGCUGUUGAACCAGGCUCAAAUAGUGACCAAUCUGGUGGUCCUCACUUGCCGCUGAAGAUGGGCUAACGCAUUGGGCCAUUCGCUGGUGUUCCUAGGCCAACUGCUUCAGGCCAAGAUUUUGGCCUAAAUGGAAUUGGUAGGCCAGCCAGUGCUCGUCCUAGCAUUGGAUAGGGUUCACUUGGGUCAAAUGUCAAUUUUAUUGGACUUGAGGGUUCUUUUGGGUAUAGACAAGAGUUUGGGCCCACCACUGGCAAUGUUUCAGUGCCAAUUAAUAGAUCAUGUGUUCCAUGGCACACAAAAUCGAGGGCACGCGUUAUUGAUUUUGAUUCUUCGCUGUGCGUUGGGUUGCAUCGCUUUACUAAUUUUCACGCAUCCGAUUUUUUUACUACCACUGGGUCUAAUGCCAAUACAACUCCAUAUAGGUCUAAUUUUGAUAAUGGUAAUUCUUACAUUCCUAUGCCUAUAGGGACCUCAUCAUGGUGUCUUGAUUUAGGGGCUACGCAUCAUGUCUGUUGAGAAGUCUCUGCCUUGAAUAAGUCUACGCCAUACUCAAGUACAUCUCCUUUCUUCACGGAUGAUGGUAUUCCUACAAAAAUAUCGUAUGUUCGGAAUCUUAUCUUGUCUAUGAAAACCAAAUUGCUUCAUUUGUCUAAUGUUUUGUGUGUGCCAAAUAUACGGAAGAAUUUGCUAUUUGUUUCUCAGUUUGCUAAUGACAAUAACGUGUUCUUUAAAUAUCACCUGUCUUAUUGUGUUAUUAAAGACAUCCAGACUCAUGAAAUUUUACUACGGGGCUACACUCGUGAUGGGCUCUAUUAUUUUUCGUCGGUUACUCUUGCUCUGUUUGUCGUUGUUCCUUUUUUCAUAGCACUGGGAUCUAGAGUCGCAAUGCAUAUGAUGAUUGUUUUGCAUUAUGGCAUCACAGGCAUAGUCAUUUGUCUGCCUCGAUUGUUAAACUUGUUCUCGAUAAGUGUCAAGUUGUUUCAAAAUAAAAUGUGCCUUGAAAAUAUUUGUAUUGCAUGUCAAAACGGGAAGUCUCACAAACUGCCUUUUUCAAGUUCUACUACUGAAUAUACAAAUUUGUUUGAUUUGGUUGUCUCUAACUUAUGGGGACCAACGUCUGUUGUCUGUAGAAAUAAUUUAUAUUAUGUUUUGUUUAUCGAGAUGUGUAGUUGAUAAACCGUAAUUUAUACAUAUUUUUAUCCUAUGUUUGGCACAUUUAUAGAUGAUUUAUCCUUAGAUUUGGUGAAUUCGAUGCUCCUAAUCCUUUAAUUUCAUAUUUUAUACUUAGGAGAGCAUAGGAGGGCAAAAAGAGCGAGAAACGGGCCGAAAACGGAAAAAAUAGACCCACAUGGGAAAUCAACAUGGCCUGGACUUCCUCACACUGGUAAGCCACACGGCCGUGUCCAUUUGGCAGGAUCGAAGCAAGACUUACACGAGUAGACUACACGCCCGUGCCUUUUUAAUAGCCUUGACCACUGUCUGGAGCAAUCGCGCACGGGCAUGUCCCUGUCGAGCCCAAGUAUAGUCUUAUUCGGAAAAGGUCUAUUUUAAGGGCUCUUAGGCAUUCUAAAGCUUAUUUAAUCACCUGAGAAGGCACUUAAAAGGGGGGACACGGAGUAGGAAGCAAGGAAUUACUCGAAGAAAGCCGAUUGAUCCAUCUCAGAAGCCUGAUUAUUCAUCAAGACUGAAAAUCUCCCUUCAAUUACCAUUCAGGAGUUUUGGGUUUUCUUUAUGUUUUGUAUUCAUUAUUCUUCUGAGAUGUUUUCUUUUAUAAUUAUGAUUUAAACCCUCUAAAUACCUAAGGGGAAUGAAACCUAAACGGAUCUUGUUAUUAUUAUCUGAAUUAUAUGAUAAAUAUUUGACUUGUUUUUAAUUAUAUGUUCUUAAUUCUUGUCUUAAUAUUCCAGGAUAUUGAUUCAAGUUAAUGCGCUUAUUCAGAGGAGCAAAAGUCCCUGUCUAAGAGUAAAUUUGUCAUAAUUAAACAGAGUUGAUUGCACACCUAAAGAUAGGGUAACAAGAUUUUGCCGAAUUAGGGUGAAACCUAAUAAGGAGAUCCAUAGAUCGAGUUAAUGCAACACUAGGGCGUUAAAUAGAAAGAGAUUUCAAUUAAUCAACCUAGGGUUAGAUGUUAUUAGUCUUGAGAGAGAUAAUAAUAUAACUUAGGGAUUUGUACGGAUCAUGUCAAAUGGAUAAAUCGACUGAUUCAGAGUCAAAUAACAAGUGAAGUCUAGGUGGAUUUUUCCUUGGGUAUUGUCCUAAUCAAGCGAAUUUUCUAAAAGUAUUUUCCCCAAUUUUUCAAGCGAAUUUUCUAAAAGUAUUUUCCCCAAUUUUCUUUCUCUGCACCCUUAGUUUAGUUAAUUAGUUUUAAUAAACAAAUCCUUUAAUUUUUAGGUUAGAUAAUAAAAAGAAAGUGAUUACUAGUACUCUUGGUUCCUUUGGGUUCGACAAUUCGGUCUUGCUAAAGCUAUAUUACUGUUCGAUAGGUACACUUGUCUUUAUCGUGAUAAUAGUUGGUUUCAAUAACGAUCAUUUCUAAAUUAUUUAAAACUUAUCGCAAGUAUCAUGAAUCAAGUUUUUGGCGCCGUUUCCGGGGAACUAAGAUAUUAGGAACACUUGAUUUUUAUUACUUUAGCCAUUUUUCUUUAUUUUUACUUUAAAUUUUUAUUUUCUUUUCUAAUUUUUCUUUUAUUUGUUCCUGACAGGUUUUUAUAGUUUAUGAUUAGAAGAAACCCGUCGGGACCAUUACUGUUUGAUAGUGAGAUCGAUCGCACAGUUCACAGAAACCAAAGAAAAAUAAGACGAAGCUUAAGAUACAAAAAGGAAGAGUAAGACGACGAUACUUCAACCACAAUCGAGAAGAUGGCUGAAAACCAGGAAAAUUUGCUACCUCCUGUGAUUUCUGCUGAUCCAGUAAAUCAGAAUCCUACUCCACGCACUAAGUAUGAUUAUGCUAAACCUACUUUAACAGGAACUGAGUCAAGUAUAGUUAGGCCUGCUAUUGCUGCGAAUAAUUUUGAACUGAAACCUAACACAAUUGAAAUGAUACAGCAAUUUGUUCAGUUUGAUGGUUUGCAGGAUGAGGAUCCAAACAACCACUUGGAAAAUUUUCUAGAGUUUUGCGAUACAUUUAAAAUCAAUGGCGUUUCUACUGAUGCCAUUCGCCUUCAGUUAUUCCCUUUUUCAUUGAGGAACAAAGCUAAACAGUGGUUGAACUCGUUACCACAAGGGUCAAUCACUGCUUGGGAACAAAUGACCGAAAAAUUUUUAUUAAAAUAUUUUUCGUCGACUAAAACAGCCAAAUUACGUAAUGAUAUCUCUUCAUUUAUGCAAAUGAAUAUAGAAACACUCUAUGAUGCAUGGGAGAGAUACAAGGACCUUUUAAGAAGAUGUCCUCACCAUGGGUUACCACUCUGGCUACAGGUUCAAACGUUUCACAAUGGCCUGAAUCCUUCGACUAGACAGAUGAUUGACGCAGCUGUUGGAGGAACUAUCAAUAAUAAGACACCUGAGGAUGCUUAUGAAUUUAUAGAAGAGAUGUCACUAAAUAAUUAUCAAUAGCAAGUCAUGAGGACAAAACCGAUGAAAGCAACCGGGGUUUUUAAUGUUGAUUCGGUCACCAUACUUUCUAAUCAGGUAGAACUUUUGAAUAGAAAAAUUAACAGUUUUUUUGGUUCUUCACAGGUUCACCCAGUAAUGCAAUGCAAUGCAAGUGGGGGAGAAUUGAGCAAUUCAGAAUGCCCACCCUAUGGCCACAACAUGAAAAACAAGCAAUUAAAUUAUAUGGAUAAUAAUCCUCGACCUCAAAAUAAUCCUUAUAGUAACACUUACAAUACAGGAUGGAGGAACCACCCAAAUUUCUCAUGGGGAGGCCAAGGGAAUCAGAGACCACCACCAUUUCCAGGUUUCUAACAGCAACCUUACCAGCAAAAUAAAAAUUUGAACCUUGAGGAAAUGCUAACAAAAUUCAUCUUGGUGUCAGAAACUCGUUUCCAGAAUACCGAGACAGCACUUAAAAAUCAACAAGCGUCGAUCCAAGGGCUCGAAACUCAGAUAGGCCAGCUCGCUAAAUUGAUAUCUGAAUGAACACAAGGUAGCCUACUGAGUAACACUGAAUCUAACCCAAGGGAGCAACUCAAUGCGAUUGCCAUUCAAGAUGAGGAAGGGUUAGUUACAUCUAAACCAGAACCGAGGCAAGAAACUGUGGUAAGUAAAGGUAAAGGUAAGGUAAACCACAUCGAGCAGAAACCGGUAAGUAAAGAGUACAAACCACGAGUGUCAUACCCAAAUGCGACAAAGAAAGACCAUACAGAUGAACAAUUUUGUAAACUCCUUAAACUAUUAAAGAAAUUACACAUUAACUUACCGUUUAUUGAAGCCCUUUCGUAGAUGCCGAACGCAGUCAAGUUUUUAAAGGAGCUUUUAGGAAACAAGUGAAAGUUGGAUGAAGCGUCGCAUGUGGAGUUGAACGUAGCUUGCUCAGCUAUUCUACAAAAUAAGCUACCCAACAAAUUAAAAGAUCCAGAGAGUUUUACAAUUCCUUGCUUAAUUGGUAGCUUAGAUGUUAAUAAUACUUUGGCUGAUUUAGGGGCUAGCAUCAAUGUCAUGCCUUACAAAAUGUUUAAGUAACUAGGUCUUGAGAAACCCAAACAAACUAAGAUGAGUAUUCAAUUAACCGAUGAAACAAUUAGAUUUCCUAGGGUUAUUAUUGAAGAUGUACUCAUUAAAAUUGACAAAUUUAUAUUCCCAGUUGAUUUCGUUGUUCUAGACAUAGAGGAGGAUAGUAACGUUCCUUUAAUUUUAGGGAGCCCUUUUUAGCAACUGUUAGAACAAUAAUUGAUGUUGGCACAGGUGAACUCACACUUCGUGUGGGAGACGAAACAAUCACCCUUUAAGCUCGUAAUUCAAGUAACACAUCAAAAAUUGAAGGUGGUUGUAUAAAUCAUACUAUUAAAACUGAUCAUUUGGUGAAACCUUCCUGGCAGGAAACACGUUCAAAGAACACACCUGAGCCAUGUUCGAGUAACGACAAAAGACCUAUCUAUGAAGAAUGAAGGCUACAACUUGAGGAACUAGAUGAAUAGCUGACACAUAAACCGAGGACACACGAUAAACCAAAACCAUGCCAUGACGAGCUCAAUAUUUCACCAAAUCAACUUAAGGUUGGAGACAAAGUACUACUAGAUGCGGUAGACCCUCGUAUUGCUACGUCUGAACCUAACGGAGCAAUCCCUCUUACAGUACUCAACAUUUUCCCAUAUGGUACAGUCGAGGUUAUUCAUCCCAAACUCGGCACUUUUAAGGUAAACAGUACUCGUCUUAAACCUUAUUUUGAUAAAAUUGAUAGCAGGGAUGAGGAGUGUGAACUCCUCACAUCACAAUGACCAUGCAACAGAAAGGUAAGUCGAGCUUAGACUAUAAAUAAGCGUUUUUCGGGAGGCAACCCGAGCAUUAAUGAUGUUAACUUUUUUAAAAUUUUAGUUUUUUACAUCUAAUCACUAACUGAGUCAGUGAAACACAGGUUUUCUAAUCUACACGGCCAAGCACACGGACAUGCCUUAGGCCGUGCUCACACCAUGGGAGGAGACACAGCCGUGCGAUACUGCCGUGUGAAAACAGGGUAAAAUUUUUCCUUAACACGGGAUGUGAUAAGUUGCCACGGCCGUGCGAUGUAGCCGUGGGCGAGUCUUUCAAACCAACACAGGCGUGUGACACACCCGUGUCUAUAAACCAUGGUUGAAACUGAGAAUUUAGCACGAGCAUGUCCUAUCAACCGUGCUCAAGACUGAAAAAAGAACACGGGCGUGGACAUCUAUACACGGGCAUUGGAGAAGAGAAUGAAACAGAACAUGGUCGUGUGACACAGACGUGUGCACCAACACGCCCAAAGAGCACGGGCGUGUGAAGAAUUUCAGACACGCCCAAAUUUGAAAAUUACGAUAAACACGAGCUGAAAUAAGGGCACAUGGGGGUGCCCCACGACCGUGUGCCCCAAAAUCUAUAUAAACCCCUUACUAUUCAUCACCCCCUUCCCCAAAAUCUCUAACCCUAGCCGCUGCAACUUCACAUGCCCUACCUGCCACGCCCGUGCACCGUCCACAGCACCACCUUUGACAACCCAAAGCUCCUCCCUCUUACGUUUGUACAUUUUUUUCCUUCUAUUCUCUUCAUUCUUUUACUUAUUUGAUGAUAUUUUAUUUUAUUUUGAGUAAAUAAUCAUAGUUAUAAUGAUAGAAUACUUAUGCUCUUUGUUAAGAAAUUUACCAUUUUAAUUGAUAUAUUUUGCUGCAUUUAUCCACUUUUCUUGUUUCCAUAGAUUUCAUGCUUACCCACACCAUAUUUCAUACUUAUUAAACCCACAUGCAUUCAUUCAAUAGAUAUUUCCAUUAGCAUUACUCUCGUAGUCCUAUUCAUAGUAAUGACUUAAUAUAUCUGAUUGGGUUAUUUUUAGUAUAGUUGUUCUUUAGUACAUGACUUCUAUGAAGUAUCUCUAUUAGUUUUACCAUGCAUAUUUUCUAUGCUAUUGCUGGGGAGUAAUUUUAUUUUUUAUUUUUUCUUGCCAUUGUAGGUAUACUAUCUCAACCUUACGUGGUAAGGAGACCGCCAUCCCCUCUUCGAAGAAAAGGAAAGGAGCAACGUCAUCCUCAGGUCCUACCGCUGAGAUCCGUUACCCUUUCCUCCAGUUUCCCUUUGGACCCCAGGAGGAACUAUUUCAGAUAUUACGGGUCCGACCCUUAGGUGUAGGCCACUGCAUUGACUGGGCUGCACUUAAAAAAAUUCAAAUGGCUGACGUGGUCCAAGCCCUCCUGACGACUACCCGUGGAGGCUUUUCUUUGAGAUCAUCGAGCCGAUGUACCACGAGCUCACAAUGGAACUCUACUCGACCUUCCAUCUUCAAGUCGCCAUGAUAAACUGCGACGAUCCUAGAACGGUCCAAUUCCACCUCAGUGGUCUAGUGCGCCAGUUGAGCGUACCGAAGUUCAGAAUUGCACUAGGGCUGUAUAUGGAAGAGUUCAUGGAUGACAACGAACUUGACACCCUCUAUUGCCACAUCCACUACUCUCUCUCCAAAUGCUGGAAGGACUUUGUCCCUGCCUCGGCCACCUAUGAUCCUAACUACUCUAAGGCAUCAGCCCUCACCCCAUCCCUGUGAUACCUACACGCCAUCUUAGCCCACACUCUGACAGGGCGGCGAGAGAGCACCGGCAUCAUCAACACUCACGACGCCUACUUUUUAUAGAGCAUGGCAAACGGGCACGUCUUCGACCUUGCCUAUUUCAUUGCUCUCGCCAUCCGCCAUCAGACGGAGCGGCAUAGGAGAGGAGUUAUCACCAUUAGCCACUAUGUGACUCGACUGGCACGGCACUUCGGGCUCCUCAACACAGCAGCAUAAUCAUCCUCACUCACUCUCAUUGGUCAUAUGUCCCCUCAAGGCAUCUCGAGUAUGCUACAUAUGAGGAUGCUCGAGAAACGACGUGGAACUUACCCUCCUCAGUACCGCCUCGUCCAGUCCACUAAAGAGGAGAACCCAUAAGACAUUACUGAUGAUGUCCCUCCACGUCAUGAGGACCCACCGUCUCAACCAUCACCCAUCCAUCGUCCAGUUCAUGCGGUGGCUUCAUACUCUGAUAUCUCUAAGCACCUUACUCGAUUUAAGCAGCAGUGUUUUCAGUGCUUUGAUCACAUUGAUGCUACUCUUCAUCAGAUUUGUCAGCACCUUCACAUCUCAUCGCCACCACCACCUCGCGAACCAUCCGGCGAUGCUGAUGUUUAAAGACUUUUUAUUUUUUAUUUUUAUUUCCACUUUUAUCUUUAUUUAUCUUCUUUAAGUAGUUUUUAUUUUAUUUUCCUUUAAUAUUAUUUCAAUUUUAGGUUUUAUAAUUUUUAUUGAAUAAUUUAUAGUUUUGGCUAUUUUAUUACGAGUAAUUAUGCUUCCUUAUAUUUCCUAAAGAGUUCUUGAUUUUAUCACAGUUAUAAAGAGCUCUAAAGCUCAUCAUCACUUAGGAACUAAAAAAUCACUGGAAAAGGUUCUCCACAACUGUCAAGUCCUGCUCGACCACGACCACAGCUACUACCAGAUAUAAUAUUCUGUUGGCGCAGGACUUAUGGACUAAUGAACCUCUACCACCACCGGAGUAUCCUCCUCCACUCUCAUCAUUGCCUUGGCUGAUUAUUCUCCAUAACUCCAAUUGAAGGAGUUCAUUCAUCAUUCAGGAAGUUUAACUUCUCUUCUUAUCUUAUGAGUAUUUAUCUAUAUUUUUCAGUAUAUCUAUCUUUGUACAUUGAGGGCAAUAUACAUCUUAAGUGUAGAGGGUCUUUUAUAUCAUUAUCAGAAAAAUCCCUGAAUUUUAUCUUGUUCUCAAAUCAUCUUCUCAUAUCAUUAUUAGAAUAAAAUUUGAUUAAUUUAUGAUUGUUAUUGAUAUGUCUUCAAUUAAAACAUAGGCAUUCAUGUAUUGAUUGUUUAAACUUUAAGGAAUUAGAUAAUCAAGCAGGAUAAGUUGAUUUUUGAGAAUUAAAAAUUUUUAGGUUGUUUCCCCAAGUUUAGGUAUUAUCUCGAGUUAAAAUUCACAGGGUUAACAUCAACAAGCCAUAAUUUCUGUAAGAUCUUGAGCCUUUAGAGCAACUAUUAUUUCUUUCAUGCUCACUGUUAUUAUUGAUAAUGAGUGUGUCAAUAUUGAUUUAUUAUUCUAGAACUUGCUUGAUUAUGCAUGUCAAGACCACACCCUUGAGUUAAUAUGUCAAUAUGAUAAAGGCACCUAGGUUUAACCCACUCACUCCAUAAAAGCAUACCUUCAUAAUUUACCCUUAGUGAACCCCUUUGAGCCUAACAAGCCAUUAAUUGAUUUACCCUCAAUGUUAACCCAUAACACAUUAUUGUUGAAAUCCCCUAAUUUGAUCCCUAUUUUUGUCGAGAUUUGAUUUGAAUUAUUGCAUAGCUAUGUUUUAUUCUUCGUUGCAAUAAUUAGCAAAGUCCUAUGUUAUUUCACUUGUUUAUUUCACUUGUUCCUAAAAAAAAAUACAAUACUUACUUACAUAUUAAUAGUAAUUCGUCAUUUUUGAGCUUAAGUGUUAAUUCCAUAUUCUAAGAAGAAGCUCACUCGUAUUCAACUUAUAAUUAGUUGUUUUUCUAGUUAGGUGAUUUUUUUAAUUCAAUCUCGAUUCUAACCUUUCCUUUUAGCUUGUGACCACACCCCCUAACCAAAGCCACGUUACAACCCUCUAAAGACCUUUUGAUUGAUGUAUCAUCUCAAUAUAUAGUGGUGGAGAUUUGAUUUUCUGCAAGCCUAUGGUAAUAACUUUUCAUAUUGACUAAUGAGUGCUUCAUUUAUUAUCCUUAAACACCUCGAGUGAUUUGAGUGAAUCUUUAGUGAGGAUGUUAAACUCCGUGAUAUUUUGAAUCAAAGGUAAUCACUUAGAUGAGGGGAGACACCUAUGUUUUCGUGAUGAAAUGCUCAACUUGGAAUGUUUGAAACUUUGAUAUUCUUCUAGUUGAAUUCUCCAUGUAUGAUUACUUAUGAUUUAUUUUAAGAUAUUAUUGAUAGAGAUUAUAGAUUGAGAAGAAUUUAUUUUGAUUGUGAGUUGAGGAUUUUGCUUGAGGACAAGCAAACGCUUAAGUGUGAGAGUUUUUGAUAAACCGCAAUUUAUACAUAUUUUUAUCCCAUGCUUAGCACAUUUAUAUAUGAUUUCUCCUUAGAUUUGGUGAAUUUGAUGCACCAAAUCCUUUAAUUUCAUGUUUUAUACUUAGGUGACCAUAGCAGAGUAAAAAGAGCGAGAAACAGGUCGACAACGGAGAAAAAUAGACCCACAUGGGAAAUCGACACGGCCUGGACUUCCUCACACGGGUAAGCCACACGGCCAUGUCCAUUUGGCAGGAUCGGCGUACAAUUUACACAGGUAGACUACAUGCCCACGAUUAUUUAGCAACCUUCACCACGGUUUGGAGCAAUCGCACACGGGCGUGUCACACAGGCGUGUCCCUGUCGAGCCCAAGUAAAGUCCUAUUCGAAAAAGGCCACUUUUGAUGGCUCUUAGGCAUUCUAAAGCCUAUUUAAACACCUGAGGAGGCAGUUAGAACGGGGGGACACAGAGUAGGAAGCAAUGAAUUACUCGAAAAAAGCCGAUUGAUCCAUCUCAGAAGCUGGAUUAUUCAUCAAGACUGAAGAUCUCUCUUCAAUUUCCAUUCAAGAGUUUUGGGUUUUCUUUAUGUUUUGUAUUCAUUAUUCUUCUAAGGGGAAUGAAACUUAAGACGAAUCUUGUUAUUAUUAUCUAAAUUAUAAGAUAAAUAUUUGACUUGUUCUUAAUUAUGUAUUCUUAAUUCUUGUCUUAAUAUUUCAGGAUAUUGAUUCAGGUUAAUGCGCUUAUUCAGAGGAGCAAAAGUCCCUGUCUAAGAGUAAAUUUGUCAUAAUUAAGUGGAGUUGAUUGCACGCCUAGAGAUAGGGUGACAAGAUUUUACCAGAUUAUGGUGAAACCUAAUAAGGGAUCCAUAGAUCGAGUAAAUGCAACACUAGGGCGUUAAUUACAAAGAGAUUUCAAUUAAUCAACCUAGGGUUAGAUGUUAUUAGUCUCGAGAGAGAUAAUAAUAUAACUUAGGGAUUUCUACGAAUCAAGUUAAAUGAACAAAUCGCCUGAUUCAGAGUCAAAUAACAAGUGAAUCUAGGUGGAUUUUUCCUUGGGUAUUGUCUUUAUUAAUCGAAUUUUCUAAAAAGUAUUUUCCCAAUUUUUAGGCUAGAUAAUAAAAAGAAAGUAAUUACUAGUACUCUUGGUUCCUUUGGGUUCGACAAUUCGGUCUUGUUAAAGCUAUACUACUGUUCGAUAGGUACACUUGCCUUCAUCGUGAUAAUAGUUGGUUUUAAGAACGAUCAUUUAUAAAUUAUUUAAAACUUAUCGCAAAUAUCAUAAAUCAGUAGUCGUUUUACAUGGAUUUAUCUCAUUAAAUGAAUGUCUCAGAUGGUUGACUAUUUUUUUCAGUUUCAAAAAAUGGUCAAAACUCAGUUUGGGAAAGAUAUUAAAAAUUUUCAAAGUGAUUGGGGUGGUGAGUUUCGUGCCUUCGCAUCAACUCUUGCUAUUCAUGGGAUACUUCAUCACCUCUCCCGUCCACAUACAUCCGAGCAGAACGGUAUAGCCAAACCAAAACAUCAAGACAUUGUUGAGAUAGGUCUUACUCUCUUGACCCAAGCUAAUAUGCCCAUGGAUUUCUGGGGUUACGUGUUUUGCAGUGUCGUUUAUCUCAUUAAUCGUCCACCUACCUUGGUUUUGAAAGGUCAAUCUCCGUAUUAAGUUCUUCAUGGUAGUGACCCUACAUAUGAUCAUUUACGGGUGUUUGGGUGUUAUUUCUUUCCAUACUUGCGUCUGUUUCUGCAACAGAACUUGGAUUUUUGUUCUCAGCCUUGCACAUUUUUAGGGUAUAGUUCUCAACAUAAAGGCUAUCACUGCCUCACACCAGAUGGUAAGGCCAUUGUCUCUUAUCAUGUUGUGUUUGAUGAACGUCGAUUUCUCUUUUUUUUUAUGUUGCAAACACCGUCCAGUCAGGUCCAUGUAUCUCUACAUAUGUUCCUAUUGCUCAGUCUUCAUCUGCCGCGCCACGGCAUCCUCGCUUGUUCAGCCCAUUAAGUCCUCUUGACUCUUACUCCUAAUUGUAGUUCCAAGACGUCUAUUUCAGUUGACUCUCCGACUGAAUUGGGUUCUACUCAUGAGGUGCACCGGCUCUUCACCUCAUCUCCUGAAUCACGUCAAUGCGACUCUACUACAAUUCCCUCGGUUAUUCCAUCUAUUUUUCUAGAGAAUACUCAUAACAUGAUUACUCGGUCUAAGGCUAGUAUUUCUAAACCCAAAGCUUUCUCUGUUGAAACUGUCGACUAUGAGCCACACACGAUUGAUGAGGCACUCGCUAGUAAGGAAUGGCAAUUAGUUGUCCAAGCUGAGUUUGUUGCUCUAAUGGCUAACUCUACCUGGGAGCUUGUUCCCUUACUUCAUUGUCGAAAAGUGAUUGGGUGUAAGUGGCUUUUUAAAAUAAAAAAAAUCCUGAUGGGGCUAUCACUUGGCACAAGGCUCAGCUGGUAGCAAUGGGUUGUUCUUAGGUACCUGGGUGUGAUUUCAAAGAAACCUUUAGUCUAAUGGUUACACCUACUACUAUUAGAAAAAUAUUGUCUAUUUCUGUUUCCAAUGGGUGAAAACUUCGUCAAAUCGAUGUGAAUAAUACCUUUUAAGAUGGUGAUCUCACUGACGAAGUGUUUAUGCAACAACCUUCAGGCUAUGUUCAGAUUGGUCCAUAUCGUGAGCUAUUGGUGUGUCGUCUGAAAAAGGAGUUGUAUGGAUUACGACAAGCUCCACGUGCCUGGUUUGAUAAAUUGAAACAUUUUUUCUACCAGAUUUGUGUUAUCCAAAUCUGAUGCAUCCCUGUUUGUUCGAGUUACGUACGUAUCCACUAUUUAUGUUCUAAUCUAUGUGGAUGAUAUUACCGUUACUGAAAGUACGACUGACGGUAUAAAUGACUUUAUUCAACAGUUACAUAAUAAGUUUUCCCUUAAAGAUAUGGGAGAUCUUCACUACUUCUUAGGUAUUCAAGUCACUCGGUCAUCCACUAGAAGUCUUCAUUUGUGCCAACGCAAAUACAUCUAGGAUCUGCUUGACAGGAGUUCCUGGGCUAACGUGAAAAGUGUUCACACACUGAUGGUUAGUUCUUUUACAUUGUCUAAAGAUGAGAAAAAUCACCUCGUUGAUCCCACUAAAUAUAGGAGCCUUGCCGGAGCAUUACAAUAUGUGGUCUUAACUCGGCCUAAUAUUGCUUAUGCGGUAAAUCGUGUUUGUCAAUUCAUGCAUAUGCCUACUACGGUACAUUUGGUGGCUUUGAAAAUAAUCUUGCGCUAUUUACGUGGCACUAUUGAUCAUGGGUUAAUUUUUCGUCCGUUCGACAGAUUGUCUUUAGUUGGCUAUGCUGAUUCCAACUGGGGACUGGAUUUUGAUGAUCGUCAGUCAACCAUAGACUAUUGUGUGUAUUUUGGACAUACAUCCAUCUUUUUGUGUUCUAUGAACCAACAAGUUAUUUUUCACUCCACGGCUGAUGCGAAGUAUCGUAGUCUAGCAGUAGCUACCAGUGAUGUUACUUGGUUAGCCUCUCUGUUAACGAAUUUAAAAAUUUGUUCUGCAAAUCCACUUACUAUUUGGUGUGACAAAUCUAGUGCAAUAGUGGUUGCUGCUAAUCCGGUUUUACACUCCAAAUUUAAACAUGGCGAGCUUGAUCUAUUUUUUGUUCGCGAAAAUGUCACUAAUGGUUCUCUCAUUGUUGGCGAAGUUCCGGCAUGUGAUCAGGUUGCUAGUAUUCUCACAAAACCAUUGUCCAUCUCUACUUUUGCUAGGUUUCAUAGUCUGCCUCAAGUCUUACCUCUUGAGAAGCUGGAUGAAGCCGGGUGAAUAUUAGAGUAUAGACUCUAUUAGUCUGUUACCAUUUUGUUAUACAGGCUAGAAUAUUGUUAGUAACCAGUUAGCAGCAAUUAGUCAUAGCAGUUAGUCAUACAAGUAUAAAUUCUAUUUAUGUAUAGUUCAAAGGUAAGCUAAUAAUACCAGAAGAGAUUUAACGUGUUCAUUCUACUUUCUUUGUUAUUCUUCAUAAUACAGUUGUUAACAGGCUUGAUAUCAUCUCUUAGAGAAAACUAGGAGAGAUAAGAGUAAGAGUAUGAGCAAACUAUGGAUAAGGCUCUACCAUAAUACCUUAGAUGCAGUUAAAGUAAGAGUAAGAGCCAACUUGUUUGGCUUGAUAGCAUCCCCUUAUAGAAAAAGCUCUACCGCAUGGCAUUAGAGCAAUAAAAGUAACACUUAAUUUCUUGGUUGAUAGCAUCUCGUAGGGGAAAAAGGUUUACCAUGUGACAUGAAAGUAAUUAAAGUAAGAUUAAGAGCUAACUUGUUUGUCUUAAUCGCAUUGUUUAAGAGAGAUCCAAAUAAAUUUACUCAAAAUAUGUUAAUCAAAUAAUGCAAAUUACAAUGUUUUGUCAAUUUUUCCUUUAAUUGUAACUGGGUUAAAGUUGGUAGUUGUAACUGGUACUAAUAGAAUAGAUUUGGUAGAAAUGGUUGAAAGCAACAUAAGCAAAGAUGACUUUGAUGUCAUUGUAUUGACCACGUGGGAACUAUAGAAUGUAGAGAAUAGUAUGGUGAUUGGCAUCAGAAUGUUGCUAACUUUGAGGACAGUAGAUAAGGAUGGAUCCAAAGGGGCUGUGGGCGGCCCCCUUGAAAUUUUCAAAUUUUUGAAUUUAUAUAUAAAUUAUCAUGUAUUUUAGAUUUGGUGUCCACAUUGUAUAACAUUCACCCCCUUUGCCAAAUUGUAUUUCAUAUCAUUCGCCCCCUUAAACCAUAAGGUUAUACUUUAUAUUAACAAAGUAUUUUCCAUUUUUUUUAAUUAUAUAAAUUUAAUAAUAACAAUAAUAAUAAAAUAUUAAUGUAUGAUAGGCAUUGAAAGACUAAACUUAUAGGUCCAAUUUGGACUUUAAAGCCAAAUUCUAUAAUUAAUUAAUUGAUUUGGCUCAUACCUAUACAUAUUAGGUUAGCGACUUUCUUGUAUUUUGAUUUGUAUGUCUUCUUAAGGAAUUAUCUUCCUUUGGUAAAGUGUUGACACUACCAAGAGAAAAAGAAAGGAUUUUGAUGACGAGACUAAGAGUAUAGAGCAAAAAUAUACAAAUUAUCUUCCUCUUGGCUCCUUAUGCAAAAAACCUCUCGGUAAAUUUUUUGCAUAAAUUAUGUUCUUUAUUUAUUUGACUUAUUUUUUUUAUUUUUUCCUAAUAUAUUUUGUUUAAUAUAUUAUUAAAAUCAUCAGGUUUUUCGAUUAAAUAAUGGUCAAUAAAAAGAUCGAAUCUAUUUUUUUAAAAAAAAGGUGUCAGAAAGCAAUAGUGAUCAACCAGUUCCUUAACCUUCUGUUAUUCGUGAAGAAAAACCAAAUAUUGGAUAUUCCCAAGCUCCUGAAUGAAAUAUUAGGUCUUAUCAAGCCCAAACUUUUGAAUGCGAUAUGGAGUCUUCCCCAGUUCUUAAACUAGAUUGUUACACUCCUUACCUGAUCCGAUCACCAAAUCCAUGUAGAGAGUACCACAACUUAAACCAUAUGAAUUGAAUAAUAAAUAUUUGAAAUUUAUUAAAGUAUCGAGUUCUUGGUGUAACCCUCAGUAUAAUAAUAUGAAACAAUCAAAUCAAUGAUACGCCAGGAACAAACAUUUUUAGGAAAAACACAUGGCGGAAACCUUACAAAAGUUUAUAAGUUUAUAUGAAAUGUAAGAUGAGUUAAUCCCAUACAAUAGUUUCAAGUGCAUUUUUGGCAGUUAAAACAACACUCUAAAACUAUUUGGUGUAGAUGCCAAUGAGACAAUCAUGUGGAAUAAGAUAUAGUAGCAUAAACACAUACAUCACUUACCAUGUCAUUAUAACAUAUACUAACCACAUAAACAAAUUUCUCGAGCUGCGAACGAACAAGUUUACCCAAACAUCUGGGGUUGGUAGAUAGCUUAUCAGAAAAGCCCUCCAAAUCCUAGAGUUCACCAAAACCUGGAGUUCGCCAAAUAGAGAUUCCCAUAGAAUACGCCAAACACACAACCAAAAAACAAAUACUCUACUAACUUACUUAUUUUUUAUUCUUAGCAUAAACAACUAUGCGCCAAAAAGUAACUUGAUACAUUAUCCAUCAGGCGGGUUGUUACAAUUCUCCCUCACUUAGAAAAUUUUGUCCUCAAAAUUCUUAACGGUGAAUAACUGAGGAUAUUGUUCUUUUAUUGAACUCUCUCUUUCCCAAGUGGAUUCUUUUUUAUUGUGAUUUCUCCAUAAUACAUUAACAAAAGGAAUUCUUUUUCUUCUCAACUUUUUUACCUCCCUUGCUAAUGCGAACAGGUUCUUCUUCAUAGGAUAUGUUUGGCUCCUUUUCUAAUGCUUUGACUUGUACCACAUGAUCUGGUUUGGAUUGAUAUUUUCUUAACACGAACACAUUAAUCACAUUGUGUAUCUUUGAUAACUCUAGUGGCAACACCAAUCUGUAUGCCACUGGACCAACCAGUUCCAAAAUCUCAUAUGGUCCUACGAAAUGCAGACUUAAUUUCCCUUUUUAUUCUAACCUUAUGAUAUUCUUCCAAAGAGAAAACUUCAUAAAUACAUUGUCACCCACUUCGAAAGAGAUUUCUUUCCUUUUUAGAUCAACAUAAGCUUUCUGACGAUCUUAAGUUACUUUCAGAUGAUUUCAAAUAAUAGAGACUUUCUCUUCUGUUUCUUGUACUAAAUCAAAACCAACUAUUUUCCUUUCACUGAGUUCCAUCCAACAGGUGGGAGAUCUACGCUUUCUUCCAUACAAAGCUUCAAAUGGUGAUAUUUCUAGAUUGGCGUGAUGACUAUAAUUAUACACAAACUUUGGCAAAGAAAGAUAUCUUUCUCAAUUCAUUCUGAAAUCUAUAAUACAACUUCUGAGCAUGUCUUCCAAAACUUGAAUUACUCUUUCAAAUUGUUCACCUGAUUAGGGAUGAAAGGCAGUACUGAAUCAUAUCUUGGUUCCUAACGAUUCUUGUUGUUGUCUUCAAAAUCUUGAUGUAAACAUUAGGUCUCGAUCUAAAACUACGGAUGUUGGAAUCCCAUGAAGACAUACAACUUCAGAAACGCAGAGCUUAGCCAACUUUUCCAAUGAGUAAUUUGUGCGGGCAAACAAGAAAUAGACUGACUUAGUAAGUCGAUCUACAAUUGCGCAAACUGAAUUCUUCUUUGAAAGGCUGAAAGGGAGAGCCAAAACAAAAUCCAUGGUGAUGUUAUCCCACUUCCACUUAGGUAUCUCUAAAGGGUACAACUUGCCUAAGGGAACCUGAUGUUCUGUUUUAAUCCGCUGACAUGUCAAAGAAAUGGAGAUGUACUCUGUUAUUUCUUUCUUCAUUCCAGGUCACCAAUACAAACUUCUCAAAUUACGAUACAUUUUAUGUAAUGCUCUCAACCCGACUCGAUAUGUCGAGUUUGGAUCUCGGGUAUUACUAUACACAGUACUUAGUAAAAUAUCAAAAUAGCUGACAAAUACUCUUUACUAAAAACAUUUUCUUAUUAUUUUAACCGAAAGAGUAAAUAUUUAAUAACAAGGGUAAAUAUUAGAAAUAAAAUAAAUUAUUACAUCAGACUUGGUACAACUGAUUAUAGUAUAAAAUUUUGUUAAAGACAGACUCUUGGGGAAUAACCCUAAUCUAUGCCACUUUUCCACUAUAUACAUAAUAACCCACUUCAGCACUAUCUUGGCAUACUCCUAGCAUCGUCACUCCUAACGCAUUCUCUACCCAUACACCUAAAAACAACAACAUUAUAAGCUCAAGAGAACUUAGUGAAUUUUAUCCCAAAAAUACCUUGGCGAGUACUUUAAUUAUUUGACUAACAUCUGUGCGCCAUCUAUCUUUUUAAACCACCUUCUUCUGAAUCAGACGGAUACUAUUACAGAUUCGACUUUCACUUAUACGCCAGCUAUCAUACUCUUAACACACUCACUUAUUCUAGAACAGUUUUUCACAUAUAUUAAUCAUUGACAGAUACAUACAUUUUUGGUGAAUACUUACGCAGAUCUAAAUACCAUCAAACUACUAAUCAAAUCAUACAUUGAUUCGAUACCAUACAAACUCCCAUUGAUAAUGUACUACACAAUUUAUUCAAAUGAAUUUUCCACUACUUUGUUACAGGACCCCAGAAAAUCAUCAUAACAAUAACUCAAUUUCCAUAUGAUUUCAAAAAAGGAUAUAAUACAACCCAAAUAUGGCGAAUUCCAGACAACUCAGAUUCAACAACUGUAUAACAUAGACAAAAUCACAUUGAUAAUUUCUUAUGUCCCAAAUAACUAUGAAUACGUCCAUAUUCAAUACUAACAGAUAAUCAUGACGGAUACCCUUCUUAUACAUAUAUGCAUUUCUUUUCUAAAAAUCUCUUAAGACUUACUCAGUUAUAUCACAGAUCUUAUUCAACCUUUAACUUCAGACGUAUCAUAAACCUAUCAGAUCAAUAUCUGUCACAAAGAAAUUGGCAUUUACCCAGAUUUUACAAUAAAGGCAGAUAAUCAUAUUAUAGUAGACAAACUUAACUGAAAGUGCUACAAAGGCCAAACAAAAUAUGCCAUAAAGGCUUCAUACAAAAUCAUGUGUUUACUAUCUCGACGGAUGAUACAUGAUAUUCGUGACAGGUUUUAAAAAUUUAUAAUUAAUCGUUCUUUAAAUUAACUAUUAUCACGAUGAAGGCAAGUGUACCUCUCGAACAGUAAUAUAGCUUUAGCAAGACCGGAUGGUCGAACCCAAAGGAACCAAGAGUACUAGUAAUUGCUUUCUUUUUAUUAUCUAGCCUAAAAAUUAAGGGAUUUAUUUAUCUAAUUAAUUAACUAAACUAAGGGUGCACAGAAAGAAAAUUGGGGAAAAGCUUUUGGGAAAACUCGAUUGAUUAAGACAAUACCCAAGAAAAAAUCCACCUAGACUUCACUUAUUAUUUGACUCUAAAUCAGACGAUUUAUUCAUUUGACUUGAUCCGUAGAAAUCCCUAAGUUAUAUUAUUAUCUCUCUUGAGACUAAUAACGUCUAACCCUAGGCUGAUAAUUGAAAUCUCUUUCUAAUUAACACUCUAGUGUUGCAUUAACUCGAUCUAUGGACUCCCUUAUUAGGUUUCACCCUAAUCCAGUAAAAUCUUGUCACCCUAUCUCUAGGCGUGCAAUCAACUCCGCUUAAUUAUGAAAAAUUUACUCUUAGAUAAGGACUUUUGCUCCUCUAAAUAAGCACAUUAACUUGAAUCAAUAUCUUGGAAUACUAAAACAAGAAUUAAGAACACAUAAUUAAGAACAAGUCAAAUAUUUAUCAUACAAUUCAGAAAAUAAUAACAAGAUCCGUCUUAGGUUUCAUUCCCCUUAGGUAUUUUGAGGUUUUAGUUCAUAAUUAUGAAAGAAAACAUCUCAAAAGAAUAAUGAUAACAAAACAUAAAGAAAACCCAAAACUCCUGAAGGAAAUUGAAGGGAGAUCCUCAGUCUUGACGAUGAAUCCGGCUUUUGAAAUGGAUCAAUCGGCUUUCCUUGAGUAAUUCAUUGCCUCCUACUCCCUAUGUAUCUUCUAAGUGCCUCCUCAGGUGUUUAAAUAGGCUUUAUAAUGUCUAAAAGCCCUCAAGAGUGGCCUUUUCUGAAUAGGACUGAACUUGGGCUCGAUAGGGACACGCCCGUGUGACACGCUCGUGUGCAAUUGCUUCAGACCGUAGUCAAGGCUACUAAAUAGGCAUGGGCGUGUGGUCUACCCGUGUGAGGAAGUCCAGGCCGUGUUGAUUUCUGAUGUUGGUCCAUUUUCUUCAUUUUCAGCCCGUUUCUCGCUCUUUUUACUCUCUUAUGCUCACCAAAGUAUAAAACAUGAAAUUAAAGGAUUAGGAGCAUCGAAUUCACCAAAUCUAAGGAGAAUUCAUCCAAAAAUAUGCUAAGCAUGAGGUAAAAAUAUGUAUAAAUUAUGGUUUAUUAAAUACCCCCACACUUAAGCGUUUGCUUGUCCUCUAGCAAAAUCCUCAACUCAAAAUCAAAAUAAAUUCUUCUUAACUUGUAACCCCUAUCAAUAAUAUCUCAAAAUAAACCAUAAGUAAUCAUGUAUUGAGAAUUCAACUAGAAAAGCAUUAAAGUCUCAAACAUUCCAAGUCGAGCAUUUUAUCACGAAAACAUAGGUGUUUCCCCUCAUCUAAGUGAUUACCUUUGAUUCAAAAUAUCACAAAGUUUUAACAUCCUCACUAAAGAUUCACUCAAAUCACUCGAGGUGUUUAAGGAUAAUAAAUGAAGCACUCAUUAGUCAAUAUGAAAAGUUAUUACCAAAGGCUUGUAUGAAAGUCAAAUCUCCACCACUAUAAAUUGAGAUGAUACAUCAAUCAAAAGGUCUUUAGAGGGUUGUAAAGUGGCUUUUGUUAGGGGGUGUAGUCACAAGCUGAAAGAAAGGUUAGAAUCAAGAUUGAAUUGAAAAAUUACCUAACUAGAAAAAUAACUAGUCAUUACUUGAAUACAUGUAAACUUCUUCUCAAAAUAUGAAAUUGAACACUUAAGCUCGAAAACAACGAAUUACUACUAAUAUAUGUAUGUAUUAUAAUUUUUUUUAAGAACAAGUCAAAUAAUAUAGGUUAAUUAUCAAAAAUAAAACAUAGCUAAGUAAUUUAUUCAAAUUAAAUCUCGACAAAAAUUGGGAUCAACUUGAUUGAGGGGAUUUCAACAGUAAUAGGUUAUAGGUUAAUAUUGAGGGUAAAUCAAUGGAUAGUUUGUUAGGCUCAAAGGGGUUCACUAAGGACAAAUUAUGAAGGUAGGCUUUUGUGGAGUGAGUGGGUUAAACCUAAGUGCCUUUAUCAUCUCGACAUAUUAAAUCAAAUGGUGUGGUCUUGACAUGCAUAAUCAAGCAAGUUCUAGAAUAACAAAUCAAUACUGACGCACUCAUAAUAAAAGUGAGCAUGAAAGAAAUAAAAUAUGAUCUAAAAGCUUAAAAUCUCACAAAAAAUUAUGGCUUUUUGAUGUUGAACCUGUGAAUUUCAACUCAAGAUAAUACCUAAACUUGGGGAAACAACCUAAAAAUUUUAAAUACUCAAAAAUCAACUUAUCAUGUCUGAUUUUCUAAUUCCUUCAAAGUUUAAACGGUCAAUGCAUAAAUACCUAUGUUUUAAUUCAAGACAUAUCAAUAAAAAUCAUAAAUUAAUCAAAAUUCAUUCUAAUAAUGAUAUGAGAAGAUUAUUUGAGAACAAGACAAAAUUUAAGGAUUUUUUUGAUAAUGAUAUAAAGGCCCCCCACACUUAAGAUGUACAUUGCCCUCAAUGUACAAAGUUAGAUUUACAACGAUAUAGAUAUAAGAUCAUAAGAUAGGGAGAGAAGUGAAACUUCCUGAAUAAUGAAUGAACUCCUUGAAUUGGAGUUAUGGAGAAUAAUCGGCAAAGGCAAUGAUAAGAUUGGAGGAGGAUACUUCGGUGGUGGUAGAGGUUGGGUUCCACAACCUCAGUGUCCAGCGAAGAAGUUAUCGUGGUGGUCGAGCAAGACAUUACAGUUAUGGAGAACCUUUUCCAGUGGAGUUUCAAGUUUCUAAGUGAUGGUGAGCUUUGGGGCUCUUAGUAACUGUGAUAAAAUCAAGAACUCUUUAAGAAAUGUAAGGAAGCAUAAUUACACGUAAUGAAAUAGCUGAAACUAUAAAUUAUUCAAUAAAAAUUAUAAAACCUAAAAAUGAAAUAAUAUUAAAGGAAAAUAAAAUAAAAAGUACUUAAAAAUGUAAAUAAAAAUAAAAUAUAAAAAGUUUUUAAACAUCGUCAUCGCUGGAUGGUUCGCAAGGUGGUGGUGGUGAUGAGAUGUGAAGGUGCUGACAAAUCUGAUGUAGAGUAGCAUCAAUGUUAUCAAAGCGCUGAAAACACUAUUGCUCAAAUCAAUAAGGCACUCAGAGAUGUCAGAGUAUGAAAUCGCCGCAUGAACUGGACGAUAGAUGGGUUGUGGCUGAAAUGGUGGGUCCUCAUGACGUGGAGGGACAUCAUUAGUAAUUCCUCCGGGUCCUCCUCCUCGGCUGACUGGAUGAGGCGGUACUGAGCAGAAUCGAUUCCAUGUCAUUUCUCGAUCAUCCUCAUAUGUAGCAUGCUUGAAAUACCCUGUGGGGACAUCUGGCCGAUGAGAGUGAGCGAGAAUGAUUGUGCCACUGUGUUAAAGAGUCCAAAGUGCCGAAUCAAUCGAGUCACAUAGGGGCCAAUAGAGAUGACUCCCUUCCUAUGCCGUUCCGUCUGAUGGCGAAUGGCGAAGGCAAUGAAAUAGGCGAGGUCGAAGAUGUGCCCAUUCGCCAUGCUCCAUAAAAAGUAGGCAUCGUGAGUGUUGACAAUGCCGGUGCUCUCUUGUCUUCCUGUCAGAGUGUGGGCCAAGAGGGCGUGUAGGUACCUCAAGGAUGGAGGGAGAGUUGAUGUUUUGGAACGGUUAGGGUCGUAGGUGGCCGAGGGAGGGACGAGGGCCUCCAGCACUUCGAGUGAGAGUAAUGGAUGUGGCGAUGAAGGAUGUCGAGUUCGUUGUAGUCCAUGAACUCCUCCGUAUACAGCCCUAGUACAAUUUUGAACUCCGGUACGCUCAAUUGGCACACUAAACCACCAAGACGAAACUGGACCGUUGUAGGAUCGUCGAACUCUGUCAUAACGGUUUGGAAGUGAAAGGUCGAAUAGAGUUCCAGUGUGAGCUUAAGGUAUAUCGGCUUGAUGAUCCCAAAGAAGAGCUCCCAUGGAUCAGUCGACAGAAGGGCUCUGACCGCGUCAACCAGUUGGACUUGUUCAAGUGCGGCCCAUUCAAUGCAGCGGCCCACACCUAAGGGUCAGGCCCGAAGUAUCUAAAAGAGUUCUUCCUAAGGUCCUAAGGGAAACUAAAUAAAGGGGUGCCUGAUCUCCACGGUAGGACCCAAGGAUGACACUGCUCAUUUCCUUUUCUUUGAAGCGGGGACAGCGAUUUUCUUACCAUGGUUUGACAUGAUAUCUGCAAUGGCAAGACGAAAAAAAUAAUAAAUAAAAAAGUAAACUUACUCUCCAACAAUAACAUGAAAAAACAUAUGCAAUGCAUGUUAAAACUAAUAGAGAUACUUUAUAGGAGUCAUGUACUAAAGAACAACUACGCUGAAAAAUAACCCAAUCAGAUAUAUUAAGUCAUUACUACGAAUAGGAAUAUGAUAAUAAUGCCUAGUGAAUGAAUGCAUAUGGAAAUGAUGAUAUGGAAAAUAGAAUGAAGUCCAUGGCAACACAAGAAUGGUGGUAUCAUAAUGCAUCAACUAAGAUAGCAAGAAACAAAGAGCAUAAGCAAGGCUAUUAUUAGAACUAUGAAGAUUAACAGUCAAAAUAAAACAAGAAAAAUCGAAUUCAUAAACGAAAUGAAGAGAAAAGAAUGGACAAACGCAAAAGCUUGGUAGAGGGAGGAGCUUGGGCCGUCGUUAGUGGUGUUGUGGUUGGCGCACGGGCGUGGCAGGAAGGCGUGGGCAAGAGUUACGGCGGCUACAGUUAGGGAUUUUGGGGAAGGGGAUGAUGAAUAUAAGGGGUUUAUUCAACUCGUGUUUAUCGCGAUUUUUAAAUUUGGGCACGUCUGAAAUUCGUCCCACGCCGAUGUCCUUUGGGCGUGUUGGUGCACAUGGCCGUGUCGUACGGUCGUGUCCUACUUCGUUCACUUCUCCCACGCUCGUGUGUAUAAGCACACGCCCGUGUUGUUUGAUCAGUCUUGAGCACGGUUGGUGGGCACGGGCGUGUCGCACACUUGUGCUAAAUUCUCAGUUUCAACCACGAUUUCAAGACACGGGCGUGUCACACGCCCGUGUUGAUUUGAAAGACUCACCCACGGCCACGUUACACAGCCGUGGCAACUUAUCACAUCUCGUGUUAAGCAAAAAUUUUUCCCUGUUUCCACACGGUCGUGUCGCAAGGCCGUGUCUCCUCCCGUAGUGUGAGCACGGCCUAAGGCACACCUGUGUGCCUCACCGUGUGAAUUAGAAAACCAGUAUUUCAAUGACUCAGUUAGUGAUUAGAUGUUAAAAACUAAAAUUUUAAAGAAGGUAACACUAUUAGUGCUCGGGUUACCUCGCGAAAAGCAUUUAUUUAUAGUCUAAGCUCGACUUACCUCUCUGUUGCAUAGUCAUGGUAGUGCAAGGAGUUUACACUCCUCAUCCCUGCUAUCAAUUUUAUCAAAAUAAGGUUUUAGACAAGUACUAUUUACCUUAAACGUACCGAAUUUGGGAUGAAUUACCUCGACUGUGCCGUAUGGGAAAAUACUAAGUACCGUAAGAGGGAUUUCUCCAUUAGGUUCAAAGGUGGCAAUCCGAAGGUCUGCUGCAUCUAAUAGUACUUUGUUUCCAACCUUAAGUUGAGUUGGAGAAAUAUUGAGCUCGUCAUGGCAUGGUUUUUUUUAUCGUGUGAUUUCGAUUUCUGUGUCUGCCAUUCAUCUAGUUCCUCAACCUGUAGCCUUGUUCUUCAUAGAUGGGUUCUUUGUCGUUAUUUGAAUGUGGCUCAAGUGUGUUUCUCGAAUGUGUUUCCUGCACAGAGGGUUUCACCACAUGAUCAGUACUGAUAGAAUUUCGAGCUUGAGGAGUAAUUGAUUCAUCACCCAUACGAAGUGUGAGUUUACUUGUGCCAACAUCAAUUAUAGUUUUAGCAGUUGCUAGAAAGGACCGUCUUAAAAUUAAAGGUGCGUCGCUAUCCUCUUCUAUGUCUAGAACAACAAAAUCAAUUGGGAAAAUAAAUUUAUCGAUUUUUACCAAUACAUCUUCAAUGAUACCCCUGGGAAAUCUAAUAGUUUUAUCAGCUAACUGAAUACUCAUCCUAGUUUGUUUAGGUUUCCCAAUACCUAGUUGUUUAAACAUUUUAUAAGGCAUGAAAUUGAUACUAGCCCCUAAAUCAGCCAAAGCGUUAUUAACAUCUAAGCUACCAAUUAAAUAAGGAAUCGUAAAACUCCUUGGAUCUUUCAAUUUGUUGGCCAUGAUGUCUCGUUGAGAGCACCAAAAAUAUCCUAUUCUCUGUAAAAUAGUAAAAAUAACAGUAAAAGGGAAGUAGGGUCGAAUCCUCAGGGACCGGAUUGUACAAAUGCUCGUUUCUUGAAAUCCUGGACAAUUUCUUGGCCAAGAAAACCUGCGUUCCUGAAAAAUAAAAAAAAUAAAAUUAAGAAUCUGGAAAAAAAAAUAGAAUUUAAAGGGAAUUGAAAUUGCGAAAUUAAAUAAAUUGUCGAAAUUAAAAUGAGGAAAAAUAAAUAGAGUUGGGAAAAGAGAAAGUUUCUUAUGUGGCGAGAUUCCAGGCUCCGGUUGUCUCGUUCCGCCUUGGGUUCAAUCCUUGGCCUUUAAGUAACCCUUCCCAACUCAAGUAAGCCAGUUAUAGUGGAAGAGGAUGCCUACGACCACCAGCUCCAAAGAUUAGACUUACGAUUUUUAGGGAACCUGACUCUAACCAGUAAUCUAUGCUAGAUCAACGCUUCUCAAUGGCGAAUCCCAAGUCAUUUUGUCUCUUUGGCUCGCCAACCUUUGACGCAGUAAAUUAACAAACCGACUGUGCAAUCCUUUCAAAACAUACAAAGCGGUCGCCUUUGCAUAUGCUGAAAAGCUUACUUCUUAAGGGCCAUGGACGGAAGCGUCAGCCCGUAGUGCGGAGAAACGAUGAAUACUUGGCGAGAAGGCUAAGUACGGGUUCUAGGCCUCAAAAACCCUUUUUUGGGGAAUAUUGACAACCUUCAGCUAGAUAGGUUUUAAUGGCUCAUGAUAAUGGUGGAAAAGGAAAUAAAUAUAAAAAUAGAAAAUAAAAUUUUAUUCAAAGAAAAUAUGAAGAAACAAAAGCCUAGACUUUUAGGGGGAGAGUGUUUAUAGAAAAAGAUGAACACCCCAAAUAGAGUCACUUCACCCCCUAUUUAUAGUGCUAGGGAGAUAAUCUAAUUUAACUUAAAUUCUAAAAAGAUAAAUACAUUUAAUUAAAGAUAAUUAAAAUAAAAUCCUAAAAUUAAAUAAUCCUAAUAAUUAUCUUAAUAAUAAUUAUUCUAAUAUAAAUAAAAUGGAGUCUUAUAAAAUAAAAUCUCUUCUUUUUGAGUUUUCAGUCCUUGUGUCAUCCAUGCUCGCACUUUUGGAACAAUCUUUUUCCUGUGUCGCAUAUCAGCCCAUUGUGUCUCCAAAUUCGCACUUUUGUCCCUUAAUUUUUCUUUUUGCCUCCAAAUCAGUCCUUUAAAGAUAAAAAGACAUAAAUAGCUAAAAUUAGUAUGAUCAAGCUCAGAAUAAAUAUAUAAUUAGCACAUAAAAACAUGACAUUCUAGAGUGUUAUCAGGCCAGCUUAUUUUGCAGAAUGGCUGAGCAAACUGCAUUCAUCUCCACAUGCGAUGCCUCAUCUAACUUCCGUUUAUUCGCUAAAAGCUCCUUUAAAAAUUUGACUGUGUUCAGCAUCUACGAAAAAGCUUCAAUAAACGGUAAGUUAAUAUGUAAUUUCUUUAAAAUUUUAAGGAAUUUACCGAAUUGUUCGUCUGAGUGGUCUUUCCUUGUCGUAUUUGGGUAUAGUACACGUGGUUUGUACUCUUUACUUACCUGUUUUUGCUCAUUAUGGUCCACCUUACCUCUACCUUUACUUACCACAAUUUCUUGCCUUAGUUCUGGUUGAGGUGCAACUAACCCUUCCUCAUCUUGAAUGGUAAUCGCAUUGAGCUAUUCCCUUGGAUUAGAUUUAGUGUUACUCAACAGGCUACCUUGUGGUCGUUCAGAUACCAAUUUAGCAAGCUGGCUUAUCUGAGUUUUGAGCCCUUGAAUCGACACUUGUUGAUUCUUAAGUGCUUUCUUGGUAUUCUAAAAACAAGUUUCUAACACUGAGAUGAAUUUUGUUAGCAUCUCCUCAAGGUUCAGCUUUUUCUCUUGUUGGUAAGGUGGUUGUUGGAAGCCUGGAGGUGGUGGGGGUCUCUGAUUUCCUUGGCCUCCCCAUGAAAAAUUUGGAUGGUUCCUCCAACCUGCAUUUUAAGUGUUACUAUAAGGAUUAUUUUAAGAUCGAGGAUUAUUACCCAUGUAAUUCAACUGCUCAUUUUCCAUACUGUGGCCAUAAGGUGGGUAUUCUGAAUUGCUUGAUCCACCUCUACUUGCUUCGCACUGCAUUACUAGGUGAACCUGUGAAUAACCAAAUAACCCGUCAAUUUUCUUAUUUAAUAGUUCUACCUGACUAGAGAGCAUCAUGACUAAAUCAACGUUAAAAACGUCAGUUGUUUUAGUCGGCUUUGUCCUCAUUACUUGCCACUGAUAAUUAUUCAGUGAGAUCUCUUCUAUAAAUUCAUAAGCAUCUUCAGAUGUCCUAUUAUUGAUAGUCCCACCAGCGGAUGCAUCGAUAAGUUGCCUUGUUGAGGGGUUUACACCGUUGUAAAACGUCUGAACUUGCUGCCAUAGAGGCAACCCAUGAUGAGGGCACCUUCUCAACAGAUCUUUGUAUCUCUCCCAUGCAUCAUAAAGCGUUUUUAGAUUCAUCUGCAUAAAAGAAGAGAUAUCACUACGUAAUUUAGUCAUUUUAGCCGACGGAAAAUAUUUUAAUAAGAAUUUUUUAUUGUCAUUUGUUCCCAAGUAGUGAUUGACACUCGUGGUAACGAGUUCAACCACUGUUUAGAUUUGUUCCUCAAUGAAAAGGGAAAUAACCGAAGACGAAUGGAAUCAUCAGAAAUGCCAUUAAUUUUAAAUGUGUCGCAAAACUCUAGAAAAUUUGCCAAGUGAUUGUUCCUCAUCCUGCAAACUAUCAAACUAAACAAAUUGUUGUAUCAUUUGAAUUGUGUUAGGUUUUAGUUCAAAAUUAUUUGCAGCAACAGCUGGCCUAACUAUACUUGACUCAGUUCCUCUUAAAGUAGGUUUAGCAUAAUCAUACAUAGUACGCGGAGUAGGAUUCUGAUUAGCAGCAAUCGCAAGAGGUAGCGGAUUUUCCUGAUUUUCAGUCAUCUCCUCAGUUGUGGUGGAAAUAUCGUCCUCUUGCUCUUUCUCUGUGUAUCUUAGGCUUUGCCUUAUUUCUCUUCGAUUUCUGUGAGCUGUGCGAUCGAUCUCACUAUCAAAAAGUAAUGGUCCUGACGGGUUUCUUCUAGUCAUGCACUAUAAAAACUUGCCAUAAGCGAAUAAACGAAAAAUAAGAAUAAGAAAAUAAAAUAAAAAUUCAAAUUGCAACAAAAGUAAAAUGGCUAAAGUAAUAAAAAUUGAGUGUUCCUAAUAUCUUCGUUCCCCGGCAACAGCGCCAAAAACUUGAUACGUGAUAUUCGCGACAGGUUUUAAAAAUUUAUAAUUAAUCAUUCUUGAAACUAACUAUUAUCACGAUGAAGCCAAAUGUACCUAUCGAACAGCAAUAUAGCUUUAGCAAGACCGGAUUGUCAAACCUAAAGGAACCAAGAGUAUUAGUAAUUGCUUUCUUUUUAUUAUCUAGCCUAAAAAUUAAGGGAUUUGUUUAUCUAACUAAUUAACUAAACUAAGGGUGCACAGAAAGAAAAUUGGGGAAAAGCUUUUGGGAAAACUCAAUUGAUUAAGACAAUACCCAAGGAAAAAUCCACCUAGACUUCACUUGUUAUUUGACUCUGAAUCAGACGAUUUAUUCAUUUGACUUGAUCCGUAGAAAUCCCUAAGUUAUAUUAUUAUCUCUCUCGAGACUGAUAACGUCUAACCCUAGGUUGAUUAAUUGAAAUCUCUUUCUAAUUAACACCCUAGUGUUGCAUUAACUCGAUCUAUGGACUCCCUUAUUAGGUUUCACCCUAAUCCGGCAAAAUCUUGUCACCCUAUCUCUAAGCGUGCAAUCAACUCCGCUUAAUUAUGAAAAAUUUACUCUUAGACAGGGACUUUUGCUCCUCUGAAUAAGGGCAUUAACUUGAAUCAAUAUCUUGGAAGAUUAAACCAAGAAUUAAGAACACAUAAUUAAGAAUAAGUCAAAUAUUUAUCAUACAAUUCAGAUAAUAAUAACAAGAUCCGUCUUAGGUUUCAUUCCCCUUAGGUAUUUAGGGGUUUUAGUUCAUAAUUAUGAAAGAAAACAUCUCAAAAGAAAAAUGAUAACAAAAUAUAAAGAAAACCCAAAACUCCUGAAGGAAAUUGAAGGAGAUCCUCAGUCUUGACGAAUAAUCCAGAUUUUGAGAUGGAUCAAUUGGCUUUGCUUGAGUAAUUCAUUGCCUCCUACUCCCUGUGUGUCUUCUAAGUGCCUCCCCAGGUGUUUAAAUAGGCUUUAGAAUGCCUAAAAGCCCUCAAGAGUGGCCUUUUUCGAAUAAUACUGAACUUGGGCUCGACAGGGACACGCUUGUGUGACACGCCCGUGUGCGAUUGCUUCAGACCAUGGUCAAGGCUGUUAAAUAGGCACGGGCGUAUGGUCUAUCUGUGUGAGGAAGUCCAGGCCUUGUUAAUUUCCCAUGUUGGUCUAUUUUCUUCGUUUUCGGCCCAUUUCUUAUGCUCACCUAAGUAUAAAACAUGAAAUUAAAGGAUUAGGAGUAUCGAAUUCACCAAAUCUAAUGAUAAUUCAUCCAAAAAUAUGCUAAGCAUGAGGUAAGAAUAUGUAUAAAUUAUGGUUUAUCAAUGGACUAUCACAGAAGGUGUCAUAGGUUUCUCCAACAUGGGCUUAUACAUAAUUUCAUGUAUUGUGAUCUGCCAUUUCAAAUUAUACAUUAUCGAAGGCUACACCAUAAGCAUAUAUACAGACAUAUCUUGCAAUGGGUCUUAGCCAUAUAGCUUACACACACAUUCAUGUAUUGUAAUCUGCCAAUCCAAUCUUCAUCUUAUUAGAGGCUACACCAUGAGUGUUUCCAAAUCAAAGUAAGAUGUCAUGGGUCUCAACCUUAUAGUUUAUUCUUGUUUUCGUAUCGUGAUCUGCCAGUCUAGUUAGCAAUAUAACUGCCCUACCAGAGGCAUCAUAGAGGAAAAUUUGCUCAGCAUUUACUUCCCUAGAUGAUCACCUUUUUACUAGCUCAUACAUCUCCUACAUCAGACCUUACCUGCAUGCUUACCAAACAUUAUUCUUUUUAAUAGAAUUUAUACAUAUCAUCGUAGCACAUCUUUCAUCUUUGCUAAACUCAUAUUUAUACUAAUUUCUGUAGACAUCAUCAUCACAUAUAUAUAUGCUUCUUGUUUGAACAGUUCAUAUCAAAAAGUCAGGAUAGAGACCCACUUAACUCUCAUCUAUUGCAGUUCAAAGUUCUGGACUCAACCACCCUUCUCAAACCAACAGUAAAAACUGCUUACAAAACAUAGAAUCACCAUUAAAACUCAUUUACAUACAAAUUACCAUCAUCUUAAUCACUUUUCCGCUGCUAAUUAAUAAAUAAAUGUUGAGUAGUAAAUAAAUAAAAAAUUAACUAAGUUUUCAAAAAAAAAAAGUCACUGUGAUGAGAAGAAUAAGUUUUCAAAAACAAAAGUCACCGUGAUGAGAAGAAUGUCAAAAUUAAUUGGUUUUUGUUAACUCAUAUGUUUUUCUAAAAAUAGGUUAAGUUUUCUUCUGAAAUAAACAAAUAUUUUGAAAUGAUUGUUUUAUAAACUCCAAUCAUAGGCCAUCUUAGUGGUCGAUGUAAUCUCCCAAAUUCGGUUCUAACAUCUAGGUUGGGUUGGAGAGGUUACAAUAUAUAUAGAAGGAUUCAUCAAUAAUGGAAACUUGAAUACAAGCAAAGAAAGAAAUCAAUCAAUGUGAAUUACUAACAAGUUCAAAAGCAUAUAUUUGGAUUAUAUUUUGUAAAGUACAAGAAUGUCAAGGAAUUAGACAUUUUGUUUUGAUAGUGAUUAUAUUUUAUAUAUAUUUACUUUUAUGCACUUUCAUAUUGAGUUGAUCAACAGUUUUGAAACUUUAUAGAAAACUUCAAGGUAUCACUUGUUGCGUAAGUGAUAUUUUACUAAGGGUGCAUAAUUGGAGGCCUCCUAGAUAUGUGAAAAUAAUGUUUAAAAAUCCAUCAAAUAGUAAAAACAUAAAUGAAAUAGCAUAUUGAUAUAUAUGGUAUCUUGAGUGUUGAAUUAAACAUUCUUUAGUAAAAGAAUGUACAUUUUGCACAUUGUGGGUGUGUUGGUUUCUUAUAUAUCAAUUAAGCACAAAUUAAAGAAAAAUAAUAUAUAUCACCAUAGUGUUGUAAUAUUUUGUAAAAUUUGUAAAAUUAUAUAAGCAAAAAAGUUUACCUAUCUCGUUAAAUAAAACUCAUUGAGUUGGUUCUUAAUAUUGAAGAAUUAGAGUGGUUGACUUCUUUAUUCAUUUUAUCCAACUACAAGUUGGAUUAAAGUUGUGGAAAUAGAAUGGUUGAAAAUUUGUGUUAAUGAGAAUUAAAGUUGUGGCCACAACUGAUGCCGACUAUUUUCUAGAAACAGGGACUGAUGUCCAAAACAUGUAGUAAAAUAAAAUUUUAGACAUGUUAGCAUAUGAAUUUAUUAUAUUAUAGAUUCAAUGUAACACCCCUAUCCUAUCUCUGUUGCUGGAUUAGGAUUUCAGACUAUUACUAAGAAAAAUAGAACAUUUAACUUUCCAACAGAAACAAUUAUACAAUUAAAUACCAACAUAUAUCAAUUAAAUCUAAUCAUGGCAAAUAUUACACUUAUAGACCUUGAAUCGAGCCUAUGGAGCCCUAGAAAAAAUUUAGGAACAAUUUGGGAUCAAAUCGAAACAAAUCAAAACAUUUUGAAAAAAAUAUAAAAAUUUGGGAAAACAGGGGUCACACGGUUGUAUGGCCAAGUCGUGUGACAAAGCCUACACCGCGUAAACAUUAGAAGUCAAAACACUCAACUGUGUCCCAGCCUGUGUGUCUACUCAUGUGUAUAAUCGAAAUAGGGUCACACAGCUGUGCUGCAGACUGUAAACCGUGUGUGUAUUCGAAGUUAGGUCACACGACCAUGUGACCGACCGUGCCACAAACUGUUUUGAGACACACGGUCGUGUCACAGACCAUGUGAAAUAUGCACCUAAAAUAAUAAAUAUACACGACCAUGUGUGGUGACUAUGUGUGGCACAUGGUCGUGUGGUAGCUUGUGUCUCAGGCUGUGUGCUCCAUUUUUAACCCCUAAAUUAAGUUAAUCAAGCAUCAUUUCUUGCACAGCAAGACAUACCAUAUCUAACUAAUUUUACAUGGUAAAAAUCACAUUCAGAUCACCAAAUACAUACCAAAAUUUCAUUCAUCCUAUGUCUAACCAAUAUACCAUCAAAAGGCAUCUCAAUCCAUACAUUCAUUCAACUCAAGAACAAAGUUACAAUAAAGGAACAAGUUUUAUCAUUAGUUAACCAUUCAUGCCUAAAACCACCAAUCUAAUUGACGAAAAUAUGGGCAUACUCAACAAGCAACCAUUUCAAAACAUCAUCACCAAAUCUUUAUAUACCAUUUAGGAUCAACUUAAUUAUAUCCAACACAAGUACACAUCCAAAACAAAGCACAUCACUAGAAAUACCAAAAUAACUUAACGAUUUACACAUCAACAAUAAGACACCACAUCCCAAAAUGAAAUACAAAAGCUACCGAGAUGGCUGGAUAGUGUGUGCUCCAAAACAAUUCGUCUAGUCAGUCCAUAAAACGCCAACUCAACCAAUAUAGAUAAACAAAAAAGAUAAGUUCUAAUUCUUGAUAUUCAAAUGCAAGAUCACACCACAUUAGUAUAUAUUUAUUUACAUCAUAAAUGAUACCUUCCAAAAGUCAUAACCAAUUCAUCAUCCAAAAUUUCUCAAUACAACCAUUAACAUUUAUAAAACAAAAACUUCAUAGAAACAUUUAUCAUUUAGUAGUAAUAUAACUAUCCAACAAAAUUGAACAAAUAAAUGAGUUUUAAGUCAUUUGAUGCAUAUCCCGCUGAACUAUAGUAACUAGACUCGGAUACUCAAUGAUGCAUAACAGAGGCACCAAAGUGCAAACAGAGGAAGGAAUAUGCAAUCAAAGGCAUUGAAGUGCAAACAAAUGCACCAAAGUGCAAACCCGUACAAGCGCACAUUAAAACCCUAUUGGCAUACUAAUCGUAUCCUAAUCAUUUACUAUGUUCAAUGGGGCAUUAAGAAUGGGGCAUUAUACUUAAAAUCGCAAUACCAAUAAAUCCAUCAUUUAGAGGCACUUCUUAUUUCCGUACACAUAAUAACAAUAAUUACCAUCAUCAAACAUUCAUUUUAUAUUUGUACUUAAUUACAAAUUUUAAUAAUAUAUAAGUAACUAAUGAAAUUUCCCAUAUAUACCAUUAACUAGAAAAAAAUAAUAUAAUCAUAAAGAGAUACACAUAUACAUAUUAUUACAUUAUGAACUUACCUGCAAUCCACUUCCAAAUAAUAUACAGGGACUACUCCGCAAUUUUUCUCUUUCCUCGAUUAUUGUCUUUUUGACUCGGUUCUUGAUCUAUAUAAUAAUUAAAUUUAAUUUAUUAAAUUUACAUAAUUUAAAAAUCAAUUCAAUGCAUGACACCCUUAUGUUUUCAUUAUUUUCACAUUUUCCUUAAACUUUUACAUUUCUCACAAUUUAGUCCCUAAACCCGAAAUUCCAAAAUUUAACAAAAUUUUACAAUUUUCCAUGCUAGCCGAACUUCUUUCUAAACUAGUACAAUCCCCAAUUAUUUACAAUUCACAAAAUUUCUAUGCAAAUUUUAAUUAUUUACACAUUGAUCAUUAAACUCAAAAUUAACACAAAUUCUUUUACAAAAAUAUCCUAAUCAACAUUCAAAUAUAUACAACUACCAUUAAAAAUCAUGAACACCAAAAUUCCAUUACUAACCAAUCCCUAAAACUUCAACAUUUUUAUAAUUUCAUCCUCAGGUUUAAUAGUUUAAGCUACAACGAGUUCAAAAAAUAUAAAAAUUAUUAAAUAUGUGAGAGAGAAACACUUACAUGCACCAAUUUGCUAACCGAAACUUUAAGCUCAAAAAAUGGAGUUUCUUUUUUUCUUUUUCUUUUUUGGUAGGAGAGAGUUGAGAAGAUGAUGAUACCAUAUUUUAUCUUUUGUUUCUUUUCUUUAAUUAAACUAAUUACCAAAUUAACCUUUUAAUCUGAACUAAAUUAUUAACAUAACAUGACCAUAAUUUUCCAUUAACUAACCAUAAGGUUUAUCUAUCAAUCAAGUCCAUUAUUUUAGUUUUUCUUUAAAAAUCAAGCACAUUUAACUAAUAAAAGCUACUUUAGCAUAUUUUACAAUUUAGUCUUUUUUACUAAAUUAACUAACUAGACAUUAAAAUUUCUUAUCCAAAUUUUAAUACGACUCAAAUAUAACUCUAUAAACAUAAAAUAAACAUAAAAUACUAACUCACUUGUUGGAAUUAUGGUCCUGAAAUAACCAUUUUCGAUACUACUGAAAAAUGGGAUAUUACAUUCAAUCUCUAAUUUAUGCUAAUGAAUGUGAGAGAAUAAUUUUCUUUGUAUAGUAAUACUACAACUAGAAUGUGUUUCGAUCCUAUUCUUAGAAACUGAUAGUAGAAACCCAACUUUUAAUUAGAAACCUCUUGUUUUAAAGUUCAAUGGGUAAAAGCAAGUUAUCGUUAUAUGUCUGUGAUACACUAGUAAAACUCAUUAUAGAAAAAAAAAGUUUAAUGGAAACUAGUGUUAUCCAUUGCGUAUAGAGGAUGAAUUUGAAUACUAUUAAUGAAGUUCAUUGUUUAUUGUUUAAAUGUCUAAAGCAAGGGAAACAUUAAAAGAACUCUACCUAUAUAAACAUAAGAAGUGAUGCCACUUCAACAAGUAAAGGUAGGGUCUCUCUUGUAAAUGUUUAUUAUGAACAAGAUAAGCACAUGAUCAUUUUAGUGCUAAAAGUGAACAACCUCUGAUAGAAAUAUAAAUGAAUAUUAUGUGUAGUGUAUUUCAACUUCUAAUACUAGGAGUUGUGGUUCAAUCUUCGGACACCAACGACUUAUUAGAACUUUGAAAAGCAUCCGCUAAUUGAUGGUUCAUAUUGAGAGAUAUCAUCUUAUAUGCAUAAUAUUUGUUGGAGUGAAUGGCUAUAAAGUAUGGUACCAACAUUUAAACUAAGGGUGAUUGUUAGUAGUUUAUAAUGUUGGCAGUAAAAAUAUUUUAUUAUGUAGAAAAGUCUAAUAACUUAUAAUUAUUGGCCAAAUAAUUGUGUUGUAAAGAGAAUUUUUGUAUGUAAAGUUGUCUUAUAAACUUUAUGUAAAGUUGUGUUGUAAAACAACACAAUUAUAUGAAAAGGUAUCUUAUUAAAAGAUAUAUUCAUAUUAAAGGGUAUCUCAUAAAAGAUACAUCUAUUGGAUGUCUAUAUAAAAGACUUUUCUAUUAGUCAUUUAAAUUGUUUUACUUGGAGUGUUGAGGCCUUUAUUGUAUCUUGAAGGUAUUUUAAAAUCUUAAAGAAAGUGCUCUACAUGCCUCAAAGUCGUUAUAUUUUAUAACAUUAUUUUAUUUUUCUAACUUCUAUUUUCCUAUUAUUUAUUUUUCUAACAGCCAGAAUAUAGAAAAAUUAUUAUGUUUCUAACUAUAUAUUAAAUACGAGUACUACUUGGAAGCCAGCACCCACAAACAUGAUAAAAGUUAAUUUUGAUGAGAGUUUUGACGUGGAAGCAAGAAAUGAGGAAGAGGGUAGUUAUGCAGCAUUGUGAUGGUUUUUUAGUCCGACUACGCAACCAUCCAAUUUAGGGUGCGUUCUACAUUAAGGUGAAAAAGCACUUAAAAAGAACAUUUGGUUUUUACACUUAAAAGUGUGAUGGAAAAAUACUUUUUCAUUCAAAUACAAAAAUUAAGAUAUAAAUGCUUUUGACUUUUAGCUUUUACAUUAGAAUGUGAAAAUUAUCAAAUACUAUUAUUUAUAUUAACUAUUUAAAGUGUAUAUAAAAAUUAGAUUAAUUUAUAUUUUAUAUAUCAUUAUAUUAAAUUAUUUAAAUAUUAUUUAUUAUUAUAUCUUUUAAUAAUUUAUAUAUCAUCUAUUUUACAAAUAAUUUAUAUUAAUUACUUCAAAAAUAUUUGGAACUUAUAUUUCAUGUACCAUUAUAUUAAAUUAUUUAAAUAUUACAUAACUUAAAAUGUCCUUUUCUUUAGACAUGAUAGACUUUUAACGGGAAUUUUUUGUAGUAACGGAGAACACCAAAAACUAAUGAGUACAUUUUUUCAUAGCACUUUUCUACCACUUUUCAACUACAACGGUAAUGGAGAACUAAUCCUUACUAAAGUUACCGAAGCACUAGCUUCCACUGUAGCCAUUGAAAUGGGGCUCCAAUUGGGAUUGCAACACAUUAUUAUUAAAAGAGAUGCUCUCUAAGUGGUUUCGAAGUUGAAGGAAGACAAAGAAGACCUACCAACAAUCGGACCUUGAUAGCAAAGAGUUGAAUACUUGCUAAACAGGUUCAGCAAUGUAGGUUUCAACAAAGAAAGAGGCAUGCUAAUGAGGUGGCACAUCAUCUGGCCAAACAGGGUGCAAUGCCCAAUUUCUGCCCGGGCCUAAUCAAAACAGCCCAAAGCAGAAAGCCCAAUUUUUCUAGACCUAGCCCACAACUAUUUUCAGCACCACCAUGCACCCAUUUUCUCCACCACUCUUCCACUCCAGAACACCCACGAACGGUUUCCCUCCAUGCCAUACAUACCUGCAAAAUAGAUUAAUGACUCAUAGCAGUUGACAGUAGAAAGAAAUAACAACAGGAAACGGUUUUGUACUUGGCUAUAAAGCCUUUGAAUUUUUCAUUGUUUGGUUUUUUUUUCUUUCUUUUUUUUUUCAGAGAGAUUGUACACGAAAUACAUACAAAAAUCAAUAGAAAGCAAUUCAAAGGUGAUUUAUCGCUAUUUAUUGUGUUUUUUUUUUCAAUUGGGUUUACAUACAAGUAUAAAAUAUAAGAGAGAACGAGAGGCUUACCGGAGUUAUAUCGCAUUCACGCCGUCGGUAGGACUAGCUCCGUUGGUCACGAACAGAUUUUGGGAGUGGUUGGGGGCUUGAAAGGAGCCUUUCGGCUGGAGAAUAAAGGGAGAGUGAGGGAGAUGAUAUAAUAUCCAAGGCAUUUAGGGUUUUUUUUUUUAAAUAAAAGUUAAAAAGUUUUCUUUUAAGCACAAUUUUUAAAGCGGGUUUUAGGUGAUAAGAAUGAAACAGCAUGGGGAAGGGAAAGGAAUAGCGUGUUUAACUUGGUCCACGUGCAUUUACCCCUUAAAUGGGUAAUUUUCGUUAUCAGUCCUCCUUACUUGCGUCACCCUUUAUUUGAUCCUAUUCUGUUUCUUUUAUUUUUGCCUUGAAUUUUGCGCACCGUUCCAAUUUAGUCCGAGCAUGAGUGUUGCUUUUUUGGGGUUGGGAACAUUUUCAAUUUUAGCCCUUAUACAUUCACGCGCAUUGCGCUUUGGUCCCUAUUUCAAUUUCAAUGGUUUUUUUAUUUGUUAAUUGUCCCUUUAAUUUUGCUUUUCUUCCAAUUAAGUUUUUAUUUAUUUUUUCCAUAAAAUAAGAAUAUAUUAUUUUAACAUAUAGUUUUGUUCAACAAAAUUCAUAUAUAUUUUUGUAUAUAUUAUUUUAACAAAAUAAGAAUAUAUUGUUUUCUUCAUAUGCAUAUUUAUUUGUUUUUUCUUCCAAAAUAAUUUCAUAUAUCAUUUUGUAUUUAUAUACUUUACUUAUAUUAAGUUUGCUUUAUAUCAUGUAUAUACGUAACUUAUACUAAGUUAUCUUUACUCUAAGUGUACAUUAUUGACUUCCUUUUAUUUUAUGUAAAUAUUUCCUUUUAUUUUAUUUUUUUAUGUAUAUUAUUGAUUUUAUGUUAUUUUAUGCUUGUUUAUUUUCUUCUAAGGACCCUAUUUUAAAUGGUAUAUUUUAUUUAUUUUCGUAUGCUAGUACCUUUGUUUUUUUUAUGUAUAAAUUUUCAUUUCAAGUAUUAUUUAUUUAGAUUGACAAAUACUAUGCUAUGUAUUACUUUUUUUAUAUAUAUACAUUAUGUGUCUUGAAAUAUCGUUUAUAUAUUAUUAUGUCGUACAUUAUUUUUAUUUUUAUUAUUUUUUGACCUAUUCCAGACUGUCAUAUAUGUUACCUUAAGAUUUUUAUACAUUUGUUUGAUUGCAUACUAACGAUUCCAAAUUGCAUUUCUUCUAUAUUAUCUAUAUUAUUUGUUAAAACUUGCCACAUACUUUUAUCUCAUGUACAAAACUAAGCUUGUACACAUGUUAUUGCAUCAUGAUCUUUAAAUUCCAACUCUUUGCCCAACAUCAAUCGUUUUUUAUCCCCAAGCAAACCAAACAAGUAUUUUUAAUUCGGUUUUUAUAACUGUUAAUUUAAAAAUUUCCCAAAACAAAGGCAAUGUUUGAUGUUUGAAAUUUUGGAAAUCGUGCCCUAACGUACUGGGUUUCGAUUUUUCGUUUAUCCAAAAUAAUCAAGUAUCCCCUUUAAAGUUUCGUAUGUGUUUUCUAAACUUCAAAACAAGGCAAUGUUCUAUGUUUUGGAAAUCCGAGAAAUCGUGCCCUAACGUGUUGGAUUUCAAUUUUUCGUUGGACCAAAUGAUCGAGUAUCCUUUUGAAAUUUCAAAUAUAUGAGCUUUUGGAAAUUAAGACUCGGUUGUGGUUUCGAGGGUUUAGAAAGUUAUGUCUUAACGUGCUGGAUGUGAUAUUUUAUUCCUUCAUAACAAAAGAAUUCUUAAUGACCAAUUUGAGUUAUUCAAAUAUUUUAAAAGAAAUAGUAUUUCAAAAUAUCUUUUAAAUUUUAGACAUAAGGACAUUGAUUAAUCAAUUAGGUACCAAUUUUGGGCGUCACGAGGGUGCUAGCCCUUCCUCGUGCGUAACCGACUCCCGAACCCUUUUUUCUCGACUUACGUAGACCUGAAAUUAUUGUUUUAAUAAAUCAAAAUGUUUUAUUAAAAUGAUCAAUUUCAAGGUGAUCCGAUCCCACCUCAGAAGGGAUCGGUGGCGACUCCAAACUUUGAUUUUUCAAAGUCGAUCCCCGUUUUUUUCAAACUUUUAGAAAAUGGUUUCGACACAAGGCCUUAAUUGUUUUCCAUCUUUUGUUCAUAUGUUUGUUUUGAAAAGGUAAAACAAAUCCUCACCUAUUGAUGUUAGAACGGUUGAAUUGCUAAAAGCAUGCUGCGUGCAUAACCAUGCUUUAGGUUAGGCUUCAAAUCAAAUAAAUUUUAAAUUAUUUUUAUUUGAAUUUAAUUAUAAAAAUAUAUUAAUAUCAAUAUAAAAUUAUAUACAAUUUUAAGAUAUUUUAUUUUUCAAUAAUAAAACGAAUCAUCUACCAACCCUAAUUCUUCAGUUUUCUUUUUAAUUAGAUGAUAACUCAAGCCAAGCUAACCAAUAAACACCCAAAAUCUACCAUCAUUUUCAUUUUUUUUUCUUUUGUCACAAAGUAGACAGAAGAUUCGGUUUGGAUAAGCUCUACGUUAUUAAGUCAAAAGCUGAAGUAAUUUUAAUCAUAAAUUGUUUUAUUUGUUUAUAAUGCAAAACAAUGACCCAAUUAAUACAAUAAAGCUUUAACUUUGUGGGAAUUUUCAGUCCAAAAAAAAAAAAACAAUUUGUGGAAAUUUUAGAGCAGUUGACCAUUUCUUCCGAAUUAGUUUUCUCACUUCUUGUCCAUAUUCCAUGUAUAUUAUUUCAAGAAAUUAGGUUUAGAAAAUUGCAUAAUUCAACCAUUGAACUAAUAAAUAUUAAAGAAAAAUUGGGUGGCAAAAAUAUCUUAUUAAAAGCGAAUCAUAUACUAUUAAUAGAUUUUAUGAUUAAAUUAGUUUCACGUGUUAACGGGAUAUUAACUUGAUUUAGUAAAUUAUAAAAAUGUCUUUUAAUGUUUAAAAUAAAUUAUAUUAUUUGAAGAUAUUUUAAUUUUUUUAUUAAAAAAGGAUGAUGUCUCAAAUUAACUCACAAUCUAAUUUAAUUUUUUAUUUUAAUAUCGUAAAUGUUUCAUGUUUUAUUAUUAAUUUGUUUCAAAUUAUACAUUUCAUUAUUUAUUUUAUGUUAUUUUUAAACAUAUUUGUGUUCUAAAUACCAAAUUUUCACUUAAGGGUAUCAGAGACGAAUCUAGAGAGGCUAGUAGGGGCCCCGGUCUCCUUAAAAUGAAAAUUAUUAUUUAAGCCCUUUAGAAAAUUUUAAAAUUUUAAAUUAGUAAAUGUAAAAUUGCACUUUGACCCCCUAAAAUUAUAAAAAUUUAAUUUAAUCUUUUAAAAAUUAUAAAGAUAUAAACUAGUAAAAAUUAAAAUUUCAUUUCGAUCCUCCCUAAAACAUAUUUUUGGCUUCACCUAAAGGGUAUGACUAGUAUGAAUAAUUUUCUUUGGAAGUCUUAAACAAACAGGAGUUAAGUAAAAAGGAGUUUUCAUACAUACAUAUUCGGCGUUGAUGUUUCCCUUUCGAAAAUUUAAAUUAAGACAUAGGAAAAGAAACUAAAAUUGAGCUUAAUUUAUGCAGUUGGGUUCAAAAUUUAAUAUUUAAAUAUAAAAAUUCUAAUAAUUCGAUCUGGUCCGUUUCAUCUAGCAGACUAAUAAUAAAUCUUAAAACAUAUUAUAUUUUAAUUUUAAUAAAACCAAAACUGAUACAUUUGACCUACAUCUACAUGUGAUCUAUGCUUAAUUAAAUUAGUCUAAAUUAGACGAGAUCUUGAUUAGGAGUCAUUUAUUUAUAUUAUAAGUCCCUGAAACAUGCAAAACUUACAUUUAAAAAUUAAUAUUUUUACGUUGUUGUUAGAAUAUAGGGUUUGUUAAUGUUUUCGUGUGAAGUCAGCUGUUGACAUUACCAACCAGAUAAUGAAAAGGGAACAUGGCAAUUAUUCCAUCCUAAUUGUCACACACACACACACACCUAAUUAAGUUAAUCCAAAAAUUACCUAACGUUUAGCAUUUCAAUGGUAGAGUCAGCUCUUUCUUCUAGUCUAUCAAAAAAAAAAAAUCAAUUUAACCCCUAACUCUUGGAUGGAAAAGUUUUUGCUAUGAACUUGUUGAAGUGAAUCUAAUGUGAUAUAAACACAUCACAAUCCAUGUGUGUAAUUAAAAAUAAUAGAGAGAGAUUGAAUAAUUUAAAGGGAAAAAAAAAGAAUUUACUCCCUCCACUAACAGGUAACUCUUGCAGCUUGAAUCUACAACGUAUGUAUGAAAGUGAACACCUUUAAUUAAUGAAUAAAUACUAAAGUUCUAGGUUUAGAAUUAAUUAAAUAUCAAUACAAAAAGUUAAUUACUUUUUGAAAUAAGGAUAAAUCGGUUUUUGAGGUUUGAUAAUUUUUCACAUAUCGAGGUUUGAAUUUUUUUAUCUUAAGUUCUAAACUUGACAAUAGUUCUCAAGAUGUGAAGGUUUUUUUUUUAUCCAAAUUAGGCUAUGAACUUAGAUAGAAAUCUUAAAAUUCAACCCUAAUGUAGGUAUAAUUGUCAAGUUAAAAAAAAUUCAAAUCUUAAUAGAAGAAUAAUCUACUAAUUGGUAACCCUAAUAUAAAAACAAUUGUUAAGUUGAAAACUUAAUUUUUUUUAAAAAUUCAAACCCUUAUUAACUUUAGGAUUUAACCCUUUGAAAUAUUGCGUUAAUUAAUAAGUGUAAGAAUUAUUUUGUGUUAAUGAUUAAAUAAAUAUUUAAGUGGAGAUCAAGUUUUACCUCAUUUGUCAAUUGUCAGGUGAAGAAUAUAUACCCUAAAGGCCUAUCAAAAACGGACCUAUCUCUAUAUAUCUUUACUAAUUUACUAUUCAUUUUUAAUGAAAAGCAAUAAAUUAAUGAAAACGCUAUAAAACGAAAACUACAUGAAUAAAUUAUAUGUGUAAAAUUGAAAUAUUUCGUGACGACAUUAUUGAAAAAAAUAAUCAUUAACCUUAAAUAUAAACAAUUAUGACAUUUCUAUAAAAUAUCAUUUAAUAUAUUGCAUCAAAGUUUUAAAAAAUGUUAUGUGUAUACUUUUACCUCGUAUAAAAAAGUCUUUCAUUUCUCAAUUCUUAUGGCAUAGUAAAUUUAUUAUUAAUUUUUAAAAAAAAUGGUUAUUAUUUGUGUAUUAAAUAAUUAUUGGGAUAAAUUUUAAAGUUGUACAUGGAUUUUGGUUACAUGUUAAUUAUAAACAUUAACUUUGAUUUUAUAUAAUUUUAUAUAUGAAAUUUUAAUUUGAUCCAAUUCUCAUAAAUUAUUAACAUAAUUAUUGAUAUAAUAUCAUUUUAUGUUUAUAUGCUAUAUACAGAAAUAAUUAUAUUUAUUCAAUAUAAAAAUUAAUUGAUGUAUUUAUUUCUUUAAACGUAUAUGAUUGAAUCAAAAUUAAAACAUCAUGUAUACAUUUGAACCAUAACUAAAAUUUUACAUAUAUAAUUAUACAAAAUUACAAUUCAUAUACGUAAUAAACUAAAAUUCAAUUUUUUUAUAAAAUUAACCUAAAAAAUUUAAUUAAUUACAUAAAUGACCCUUUUUUUUAUUAAACACGUAAAUGACCUAAAAUCUACCGUGAAAAUUGGUGGAAGCAAAGAGUUUGGCACCACCAACAUGCCACGUCAGCAACCAAGAUAAAAAAAAUCAACUUUUUGGUAGAGCCAUGCAUAAUAGUGCUACUUGUAUAAAUAUCAGGAAAAUACUAUAAUUUCUAAAAAAUAAGGGACUUUAAUAAAAAAAAAUUCUAUUUUCUGGUGGAGCCAAAUAAAUUGGCGCCACCAGUUUCCAAUGUGAUUUUUUUUAAAGUUUUCUAAAAUUUUAAAUAUAUUAAAAAAUGUUAAGUAUAAUUAAUUUUAAAAGUUUAAUAUAUUUAAAAAUUUAAUAUACUUAAUAUAUAUUUUUAAUAGGUAAAGAAAAAAAUGAUUUUUUAAUAUAUUUAAAAUUUUAAAAAACUUAAAAAAUUUAAAUACUUUAAAAAAUAUUAAGUAUAACUAAUUUUAAAAUUUUAAUAUAUUUAAUAUAUUUUUAAAAUAUUUUUAAAAUUUUUAAUAUAUUUAAAUUUUUUAAAGUUUUUUAAAAUUUUAAAUAUAUUAAAAAAAAUUUCCUCAUUACCUAUUAAAAAUAUAUUAAAUAUAUUAAAAUUUUAACAUAUAUUUUUAAAAUAUAUAUUAAAUAUAUUAAAAUUUUAAAAUUAGUUAUACUUAACAUUUUUUUAAUAUAUUUAAUUUUUUACUAUUUUUUAAAAAUUUUAAAUAUAUUAAGAAAAUAUUUUUUAUAUUUACCUAUUAAAAAUAUAUUUUAAGUAUAUUAAAUUUUUAAAUAUAUUAAACUUUUAAAAAUAAUUAUACUUAACAUUUUUUAAUAUAUUUAAAAUUUUAGAAAACUUUAAAAAAAAUUACAUUUGAAACUGAUUGGCUCCACCAGAAAAUAGAAAAUUUUUAUUAAAGUCCCCCCAUUUUUUAGAAAUUAUAAUAUUUUUUUGAUAUUUAUACAAGUGGCGCCAUUCUACAUGGCUCUAUCAAAAAGUUGAUUUUUUUUAUCCUGGUUGCUGACGUGGCAUAUUGGUGGAGCUAAACUCUUUACCUCCACCAAUUUUCACAGAAAAUUUUAAGUUAUUUAUGUGUUUAAUCAAAAAAAUAGAUCAUUUAUAUAAUUAAUUAAAUUUUUUAAAUUAAUUUUAUAAAAAAAACCCUAAAAUUCAUAUAUAUAACUGUAAGAUUUAUGUCCACAAUUAUCUAAAGCUAAUCGGUGAUAAUUACUAUGGAAAUUCAAUGUACUUAACUAAUUGAUUGAUAGGAACAAGCAUGAUGAAAUCCAUGAUUGGGAAGAGAGAGAAUUCAAAAACUGAACGCCCCAUUAAUCCAUGCGAAUAAACUUUUUCGGUAUACAUCAUAAUUCAUUUAAUUUUAUCAUUAUCUCUAUGCUAUAAUUAUGUUUAAACUAAAAUACUUGAGACAUUAAUAGUUUGUGUUAUAUAAAUUAUGAUAUCCAUAUAUCCAUAUUAUAUAUAUAUUUUUAUAUUAUGAAUGCAUUUAAAAAAAAAUUAUGAAAAAUGUAGAGUCCGCAAAUAAAAAAUGGCUUACAAAUUAACAGAAAACCAAUUUUAUUUCUUGUAAAUUGAUUUACCAUAUUAAAAAGUGUAAAUCUUUUUUUAAAUUUAUUUACGAGUAAUUUUAUUUUUAUAAAAAUUAAUUUUAGCCAAGCCUAAUAUUAUUUUAUUAAUAAUAUUAUUUUUAUUUUUAUUUUUAAACAAUUUAAAAUUAUUAAUAUCAAAUAUUAUAAUGUUGAAUCCUAGUAACAUACAUAUUAAAUUAUUUAUAUUAUGUUAUAUUACAAUUUUAUUUUAAUAAUAAAUUUUAACAACAAUAAUUUUAAAUUUUAAAUCGUAUUUUUAAUAUAUUAUUGAAAAAUAUUUAUAUUAAUAUUUUAAUAAUAAAUAUAUAUUAAAAUUUAUAAAUAUUUAAUAAUAAAUUUUUUAUAGUAUAAAAUAUGAAUAUUUUAAUUAUAUAGAUAUGAGUAUUUGUUUAAAUCAUGCUUAAGUUCAUUUAUCUCCCAACUCUAAUGUGUCAUUAUACACUGUCAUAUAUAUAAUAUAUGUAAUUUAAGCAUUAUUUAUUAUUAAAUUUAUAUAUGAUAUUAAUUAUAAUAAAAUAUUAUCUUAUUAUAAAAGAAAUUCCAAUUGUCAAAAAGAAAUGUUACUCUAAUAUUUUGUAAUAAGUAUAUUUAUAUUGUAUUUGUUUCACUAAUAACAAAUUUAAAAUGAUUUUAGAAAAAAAUAUCAAAAAAUAAAAAAUAUUUUAAUCAAAAUAAUUCAAAUAAAAAAAACUAAACUUUUCCAUGAAAUCAAUCCAAUUUUAAGAAAACAUUAAAAUUGUUUUAGGUGAAACAAAAGGAACCUAUAUUUUAUAUAGUAUUUGAAAAGUUGUUGUAUCUAGAAUUAUUAUCUUUAAUUUUUUUUAGGUCUAUUUCUAAUUUUCAAAAAUUGAGAAGUUAAUUUCUCUAUUUUACUUUAUCAGUCCGUGCUUAUUUUUUAUUAAUUUGUUGUGUAUAAAUGGUUAAACUAUUGAUUUUUGUUAAUUACUAGCAUGUAAAUUGUUAAACUACUUGUUCCCAAGUCAACAGUAAAGCUUAAUAGUAUUAUCAAUUUGGAAUAAUUUCUGAGAUUUUUCUUUUAUUUUGCGUGAUUAAGAUAUUUUUCAUGUACGGUUUAAGGUUUAUGAAGACUAAUCCUUUCGAGUUUAUAACUACCCUUUUUAAUAAUGUCGUCUUUAAAAUUCGAGUUCUCUUUCUUGUAAGUACAAUAUGCCUUACAUUUAUAACUAAUACUUCUUAUUUUUGUAAAAUAUAAGAAUCAAAUUAUGUAGUAAGAUUAAUUUCUAGAUUUUUUAAAUUUAAAAUUUAACAUUUAAAAUAUUAUCAAUCACAUCACACACAAAACCAAAGAGCAAGAGAAUCUAAAAAACACGUGGACCAUUAAUUUAGGAAUGGACAGAAACUCAUGCAAAAUGGUUGGAAAACACGUACAGGAUUAUAUAUACUAAUCAUUUUUAUUAUUAAGCAGAAUUGGAAAUAAAUAAAUACGGGCGAAACCACUGAAUAAUACAGCAUUGAAAUGCAAUUUGUCUACAUCAUUAUUGUUCUUCACUUCAAACGCGGAGACUAGUCUAGGGUCCCAAUCUUUUGCUUUAUCUCUCUAGAUAUAUCCUUUUCAAACUAUCUUUUUGUAGCUUUAUUUGCAUCACAGCAUUAUCUUUUCCUGCAAACAACUGUUUAAAGAUUAAAACAUGCAAAACAUUCUGAAAUAAUGCACCCUGACCAGAUGACAAAAAAAAAAGAGGAUUCUAAUGUAUCUUACCUUGGAUUGGAGCACGGUCAAAGCCGUGGCUUAGUAGUGGUGAGGAGGAGGGGGUGAAGCGUAGACAUAAUGGGGUGGGGGUGGAGGAGGAGACUUGUAUUUGUAAACUGGAGGAGGAGGUGGUGGAGACUUGUACUUGUAAGGGUGCUUGGGGGGUGAUGGUGGGGGUGGUGGGGGUGACUUGUACUUGUAGGGGUGCUUGGGUGGUGACGGUGGGGGUGGGGACUUGUACUUGUAAGGGUGCUUGGGGGGUGAUGGUGGUGGUGGUGGAGGUGACUUGUACUUGUAGGGGUGCUUGGGUGGUGACGGUGGUGGUGGUGGGGGGGACUUGUACUUGUAGGGAUGCUUUGGUGGGGAUGGUGGUGGUGGUGGUGGGGACUUGUACUUGUAGGGAUGCUUAGGUGGGGAUGGUGGUGGUGGUGGAGACUUGUAUUUGUAAGGAUGCUUUGGUGGUGAUGUUGGUGGAGGUGGUGGGGACUUGUACUUGUAAGGGUGCUUGGGUGGUGAUGGAGGUGGAGGUGGUGGAGACUUAUACUUGUAAACUGGAGGUGGUGGGGGUGGAGACUUGUACUUGUAGGGGUGCUUGGGUGAUGAUGGAGGUGGAGGUGGUGGAGACUUAUACUUGUAAACUGGAGGUGGUGGGGGUGGAGACUUGUACUUGUAAGGGUGCUUGGGUGGUGAUGGUGGGGGUGGGGACUUGUACUUGUAGGGGUGUUUAGGUGGUGAUGGUGGUGGUGGUGGUGGGGACUUGUACUUGUAAGGAUGCUUGGGUGGUGAUGGUGGUGGAGGUGGAGGAGACUUGUACUUGUAAGGAUGCUUGGGUGGUGAUGGUGGUGGAGGUGGUGGAGACUUAUACUUGUAAACAGGAGUUGGUGGGGGAGGAGAUUUGUACUUGUAAGGUUUCUUGUGUGGUGGUGGUGGAGGAGAGUAGACCGGAGGAGGCGGUGGGGGAGACUUGUAAUGGUAGGGUGGUGGUGGGUAUUUCUUAGGAGGUGGUGGAGGAGAAGAAUAAGUGUAAUCUGCAGAGGUUUCAAAAGGCAAACUGAGAGAC
This 51210-nucleotide long non-coding RNA is filed under the name Gossypium barbadense (sea-island cotton). RNAcentral describes it as "long non-coding RNA (GBAR_LNC001208)". The stretch from base 32048 to 32154 matches the Rfam family "Plant small nucleolar RNA R71". The record is from RNAcentral. Lineage: Eukaryota; Viridiplantae; Streptophyta; Magnoliopsida; Malvales; Malvaceae.